This 86063-nucleotide long non-coding RNA is filed under the name Physcomitrium patens. Its description in RNAcentral is "long non-coding RNA (PPAT_LNC001193)". Lineage: Eukaryota; Viridiplantae; Streptophyta; Bryopsida; Funariales; Funariaceae. The record is from RNAcentral.
UUUGUGUUUGACGUUCCUAUUGUAAUUUGUCUUUGAAUAUCAACCAAAUGAAAGAUGUAGAAACUUGAUAGUAAUUCUUAAUAAAUAUCUAAUAGAAAUUUUAAAAAAAAAAUGUACAUUAUAUACUAUCUUUAAAAUUAUCUACUCUACUACAACUUGAAUUUUCUUCACGUCCAUCAAUAGGCCUUUAUUAAAUAUGAUAUAUCCAAGAAAUUCUACUUUUGGUAGAUGAAAUAUAUAUUUCUCUAAUUUGGUAUAUAAUCUUACUUCUCAUAAAUUUUGUAAGACUAAUCUCAUAUGUUCUUUAUAUUCUUCAAGAAUCUUAGAAUAGAUUAAAAUAUCAUCAAGAUAACAAAUAAAAAACUUGUCUAAAAUUUUUCAAAAAAUAUCAUUUGUUAAAUGUUGGAAUAUAAUUGGAGCAUUUGUCAAUAAAAAAUGUAUGAUAUUAUAUUCAAAAUAUCCAUUCUUUGUCUAUAAUGUUCUCUUCUAUUUAUCUCUUUUUUUAAUUUGUACUAAAUUAAAUGCUUUACAAAGAUCUAUUUUGAUACAAAUCUGGGCUUGAUCCAAUUGCUUCAAAAGCCUUGAUAUCAAUGGUAAUGGAUAAUGAUUCUUCACUACUAUCUUAUUGAGGCUACAUUAAUCAAUAUAUAUUUGCAAAGAUCCAUCUUUUUUCUUCAUAAAAAGAAUUAGUGCACUUUUUGGAGUUUUGAAAUAUCAAAUAAAGUUCUUUAUGAGAUUUUUGUCUAUGUAAUCUUUCAAUGCAAAAAGCUCAUUCUAUGAUAGGUUAUAGAUGCCACGGCCAUAAUCAUGUAAGCUAAUAAUUACAUAUAAAAAUAGGUAGAAGUAAGUAAAAGUAGAUAAAAGUAAGUUAAUUCUAUAAUAUUUAAUAUAGAAGCUUCCUAGAAACUUCCUAGAUGCUGCUUUGACUUCAUAGGUGUCUUUAAUUGACUUUUUGGAUUAGAAACGUGGUCAACAAGUUGGCCAUGUGCCACACAUGUUGUUAGCUUGAAGAUCAAGCUAACUAUGUGGCCCACACGUAGAAAAACUUGCCUUGUAAGUCAAGGCAUGUGUCCUACAAAGUCAACACAUAUUGGAGGUCCUAUAGAACGUCGCCACGUAGCCCCUAAUUAGAUAGUAUAUAUAGAGACAAGAGUGAAGGCUUCUUCACUCUUGUCAACUCCUUUCUUGCUUCUAGUCUAGUUUCAAGGGUCUCUAGUUUUCUUGUCUUUUGGCAAUAGCCAUUCUAGUUUCUCUUUUCAAUAUACAUACUUAUUAUUCAUAUUUUGUUACUUUUCUUUGAGUGAAGGCUUACUUGUCUGAACUGUUUUUUCAUCGAGUUCUUGUCCUUGACAAAUUGACAAGAGUGUACUUACAAUAUCAGAGCUUUGUUUUUCUUGAGUAAGAGUGGAUUACCCCUUUCUCUUGAUAAGGCAUAAGCGUAUUAGAAGUUUGCGGAUUACCCACUUCUAAACUGAUAUUGUUCUUAGUAUCUUCUUUGUUAUCAAGUCUUUCUUUUCUUUUGUCUUGAGCAGUAUCAAACAAAUUUUUCUUCUUAGUGUCAUUAUGGCAGAGCUUGUUGAAAUGAAGAGUGCAAUGGCAUAAAUGCUAGAGCAAAUGAGGGAGUUAAUGCUUGCGAUGCAUCAACUCAAUUCACCAACACAGGAAAUAACAAGAAUAGCAAAAAGUGGGGAUAUAGAGAUGACCGGAGCUACUUCAACAUCUACAACAAAUCACGUUCCUUCUCCAAUUGUACAACACCCUAUAAGCACUAGAGAACCAAGAAUUGCCUUACCCGAGAAAUUUGAUGGUACGAGAUCAAAGUUUCGAGGGUUCAUCAAUCAAGUACAAUUGGCAAUUGAACUUCAACCGCAAAGCUAUCCAACUCCAGGAUCACAAGUCAGGUUUAUUGGCACUCUACUUUCUGGUUCUGCAUUAUCGUGGUUUUCGUCUUUUCUUGAACAACGAAAUCCAAUAUUGGAUAAUUUGGAAGCUUUUUUGGUGGAGUUUCGAUCUAUGUAUGGUGAACACGAUGCAACUCGUGUUGCAACAAAUAAGAUCCGAAUUCUAUGACAAGGAAAUCGCUCAGUAACAGUGUAUGCUUCACAAUUUCGACAACUUGCAAUUGACAUCAAGUGGGAUGAUGCUGCAUUCAUUAGUCAAUUGCUUUAUGGUUUACAAUACAAAGUAAAGAAAUUGAUGCUCAACUUACCUGACCCUCAAACUUUGAGUCAAGCAAUCGAUUUUGCGGUAAAAUGUGAUAAUCGACUUUUCGAAUUUCGAUCCGAGAAUCAUUCACGGAAACCUCAAUGUUAUUACUCAAUGGCAACAUCAACAUCUUUACCAAACGUACAUUCGGAAGUAGAAGACAUGCAAAUUGACGCGGUAUGUUUUAAACCCCUAACUGAGCAAGAAAAGAUUCAUCGUCGUCAAGAAGGAUUAUGUUUAUAUUGCGGAGAAUCUAAGCACACUGCUCAACAUUGUCCAAAGAAACGACGCAACUAUAAAAUGAGGGGUACGACGGUCAAAGAAGACAACAUGUCAGAAAACGGAUUCAUCCAGCUCAAAUAAGGAUCGUGCAGCUGGAACCUUGUACAAUUCCUAAUGAAGGUCCUAUUCUCUCCUCAGAACCCUCUCUUUGUUUUAUAUAGACUUAUAUUUAGGACCUAAGAAUUACAAAGCCUCUGCUUUAUUAGAUUCGGGAGCCUCAGCAUGUUUUUUAGAUGAACAAUUUGUUAAAAGUCGUAAAAUACCCUUUGUACAGAAACCUAAACCAGUACAUGUAGAAGUCAUAGAUGGUCGUCCCUUGUCUUCUGGAGAUGUCACUCAUGAAACUCAUCCUAUAAAAGUAACAAUAGACGGUCAUGAUAGCUACAUAGCUUUUAACAUAAUUAAAUCCCCGUCCAAUCCAGUUAUUUUAGGUUUAUCCUGGCUAGAAAAAUAUAACCCUCGAAUAGAUUGGAAUUCACGUAAACUUGACUUUUCCCAGAGCAUUAUUAAUAGUUCUACCAACCAAGUAAAAAAUUAUAAGUCUAGUAUAGUAAAACUCGUACUGAUAGGUGCAAAAGCAUUUAUACACGCAGCAAAAGAAGGAUCAACUUUUGCUAUUUAUGCUGCACCUAUUUUUGAAAACGUAAAGACUUCAAGUGGCAUUCCAAGUCAAUAUCAGGAGUAUCAAGAUGUUUUUGAGAAAAAGAAUGCAGAUAUUCUUCCUGAGCAUCGCCCAUAUGAUUGUUCAAUCGACCUCAAGGAAGGAACUCAGCCACCAUUUGGACCAAUUUACAGUUUAUCGCAAGAUGAGAUGGCUGAACUCAAGACAUAUAUUGACGAGAAUUUAGCGAAGGAUUUCAUACGCCAUUCAAAAUCUCCAGCAGGAGCUCCAAUUCUAUUUGUAAAGAAAAAAGAUGGAUCUUUACGAAUGUGUGUUGAUUAUCGAGGACUCAACAAGAUCACAAUCAAGAACAGGUAUCCAUUACCUUUGAUAUCAGGACUCCUCGACCAGUUGAAUCAAGCUAAGAUCUAUACAAAAAUAGAUCUAAGACGAGCAUAUAAUCUAGUACGGAUCAAAGAAAGAGAUGAAUGGAAGACUGCGUUUCGAACCAGGUAUGGACAUUUCGAAUAUAAUGUCAUGCCCUUUGGACUCACGAAUGUACCAGCUGCUUUUCAACAUCUCAUGAAUGAUGUAUUUCGUGAAUUCUUAGAUAAUUUUGUCAUCUGCUAUCUAGACAAUAUCUUGAUCUAUUCUAAGAACGUCGAAGAACAUGAAAUAUAUGUUCGUCAAGUAUUACAAAAACUUAGAGAUGCAGGAUUGUAUGCUAAAAUGGAAAAGUGUGUAUUUCACACUACUCAAGUUGACUUUUUAGGAUACAUCAUUUCAAAUGAUGGUCUCAUGAUGGAUUCUAAGAAAGUCCAAACAAUCAUGGAUUGGAAGAUUCCAAGGACAGUAAGAGAUGUCCAAUGUUUAUUGGGAUUUGCCAAUUACUAUCGGAUCUUCAUCAAAGAUUUCUCAUGAGUUGCAGCUCCACUUACACGCUUGACUAGUAAAGAUAAAUCCUAAUGGAAUCAAGAAGCGGAAGCAACAUUUGAAGCCUUGAAGACAUCGUUUGUCUCUGCACCAGUCUUAUAUCGUGUUGACUUUUCCAAGGCAUUUUUUAUGGAAACAGAUGCAUCAGAUUUUGCCUUGGGUGCAGUUUUAUCACAAAUGGAAACAGAUGACAAACUUCAUCCGAUAGCUUUUCAUUCAAGAAAAUUCUCAGCAGUCGAGAUCAAUUAUGAGAUCCACGAUAAAGAACUUCUUGCGAUCAUGGAUUCCUUUCAAGAAUGGCAUCAUUAUCUAGAAGGCGCUUCUAGUCCAGUCACUGUGUAUACAGAUCACAAGAACCUCGAGUAUUUCAUGUCAGCACGCGUGUUGAAUCGUCGUCAAGCUCGUUGGAGUAUGUCUUUGUCAAGAUUCGAGUUCAUUAUCACUUAUCGGCCAGGAAAACAACAAGGUUUGUCUGAUGCCCUAUCUAGACGUUCUUAUUUUGCACCAAAAGAAGGAGAUGCAGCUUUUGAGCAACAAAGAACGGUCCUCUUGAAAUCGGAGCAAUUUCAUCUCCGAGCAAUGAAAUCAACAUUGACUGUUGAUUCAACUUUUCUCAAGCAAAUCCAGUCCAGUAUGUCCUUAGACCCUCUUAUUUAUGAUAUCGAGAAUAAUUCUUCCAAGUCUCAUGAUCCUUCUAAGUUCGAGUUCAAGAAUAAUCUAUUAUAUUUUGAAGGAUGCCUAUAUGUUCCAGAAGGAGAAGCACGUUUACGUGUUCUUCAAGCACGUCAUGACUUUCCAACAGCAGGGCACUUUGGAUAUAAUAAGACUUUGGAACUCAUAUCAAGAGAUUUUUGGUGGCCACAAAUGUGGAAGUCAGUCAAAGACUUUGUACAAUCAUGUGAUAUUUGUUCAAGAUCAAAAAUUCCUCGUCAUCGACCUUACGGACUUCUUCAGCCAUUACCUGUAUUAGAACAACCAUGGUCUUCUGUUUCUAUGGAUUUCAUCACAGAUCUUCCAAGCUCAAGAUCUUAUGAUUCUAUAUUUGUGAUAGUAGAUCAUUUCACCAAGAUGGCACAUUUUGUGCCAUGUACAAAAUCUAUCACAGGUGAAGAAACAGCUAAGCUUUUCAUUGAUAAUAUCUAUCGCUAUCAUGGAUUACCUAAAGAUAUCAUAUUGGAUAGGGGAACUCAAUUUGUGUCAAGAUUUUGGAGGACCCUUUUCAAGAUUUUAAAAGUGGACAUAAAGCUAUAUUCGGCUUUCCAUCCUCAAAUUGAUGGACAAACAGAGCGCGUAAACCAAGUCUUGGAGCAAUAUUUAAGGUGUACUAUCAAUUACCAACAAGAUGAUUGGACAACCCUUCUGCCAUUGGCAGAGUUUGCUUAUAAUAAUACGGUACAUUCUUCCACACAACAAACACCUUUCUUUGCCAAUUAUGGCUAUCAUCCACGACUUGAUACUUUUGAUUUUUCAAAAGUAGAUAAUCCUGCAGCAGAAGAUAUGGCAAAUCGGUUGUCAAAGUUACAUGCAAUAAUGAAGACGCAAUUGAAGGAAGCUCAAGAAUGACAAAAGAUAAACGCAGAUGUAUAUCAUAAAGAGCAAUCUGAAAUCAACGUGGGUGAUAAGGUAUGGCUACUUCGUCGCAAUAUCAAGACUACUCAACCUUGUGACAAGUUGGACUAUCGUAGGCUUGGCCCCUUUUCUGUUUCUGAACAGAUCAACCCAGUUGCAUAUCGGUUACAUCUACCGGAGUCAAUGAAGAUCCAUCAUGUAUUCCACGUGUCUCUUCUUGAACCAUAUAAGAUAGUGGAUAUACAAGGAAGAAGACAAAUGCCACCGCCUGCUAUAGAAGUAGAUAAUAAUGAAGAAUUUGAGGUGGAAGAGAUAUUAGACUCAAGGCGGUGCCGAAAUAAGCUGGAAUAUCUUGUUCAUUGGCACGGAUAUGAUAUUAGUGAACGCACAUGGGAGCCAUCCAGGAAUCUAGCAAAUGCAUCAGUUAAAGUCAAAGUUUUUCAUCAACGACAUCCAUCAAAACCAAGAUGAAAAUCUCUCUUAUAAAAGAGACAAGAUUGAGGUAAGAUAACAUUCAAUUUCUUAUCCUUGUUUGUAACUUCUUUGCAUUUGUGAUACUAAUUAGAUGGAGAGCCAACAACCAGCGGAUUCAACUCAAGAACCUUCGUUUGCUGACCUGCCGGACGAGACAUUACGAUUGUCACAACCUUCAAGACGACGUAAUCGAGAUGAAGAUCUUCAAGAACGACAUGUUCUUCCUCGAAUAGAUGGUGAGAUACAACGCGUUUGGUAUCACGAUUUGGGAAGGGACUCUCGAUGUUUGGUGAUUUUGCUAGAGGUAGGAACAACUCUUGAUGGUGUUCCGAAUAUUCUAUUCGAAGGAAGUUACGAAGGCCUCAACAAUGAUCAAAUAACUGGGUGGUCUUCCCGCCCUGGUAUGGGACACUACCGAUGGUUGAGAGGCCCUAUCAAUCAUCUUCGAAGAGAACAGAGAUCAGAGUAUGUGGCGAAUACAAUUCGUCGCAUCAUAGAUUUUCUCAACAUAUGAUGACCGCUCCUCGUGGAACUCGUCUCUAGUAGGGGGGGUAAUGUCACGGCCAUAAUCAUGUAAGCUAAUAAUUACAUAUAGAAAUAGGUAGAAGUAAGUAAAAGUAGAUAAAAGUAAGUUAAUUCUAUAAUAUUUAAUAUAGAAGCUUCCUAGAAACUUCCUAGAUGCUACUUUGACUUCAUAGGUGUCUUUAAUUGACUUUUUGGAUUAGAAACGUGGUCAACAAGUUGGCCAUGUGCCACACAUGUUGUUAGCUUGAAGAUCAAGCUAACUAUGUGGCCCACACGUUGAAAAACUUGCCUUGUAAGUCAAGGCAUGUGUCCUACAAAGUCAACACAUAUUGGAGGUCCUAUAGAACGUCGCCACGUAGCCCCUAAUUAGAUAGUAUAUAUAGAGACAAGAGUGAAGGCUUCUUCACUCUUGUCAACUCCUUUCUUGCUUCUAGUCUAGUUUCAAGGGUCUCUAGUUUUCUUGUCUUUUGGCAAUAGCCAUUCUAGUUUCUCUUUUCAACAUACAUACUUAUUUAUUUAUAUUUUGUUACCUUUCUUUGAGUGAAAGAUCACUUGUUUGAAUUAAUUUUUCAUCGAGUUCUUGUCCUUGACAAUAGAUUGGGCCAAAUGAUAAUUGAGUCUUUUCUUGAAAAUCAAUGGCACAAUUAUAUGGUUGAUGCUUCAAGAAUAUGUCAAUAUUUUUCUUUUUAAAGACAUCUUGAAACUCCUUAUAUUAUUUUGGAAUAGCUACUAACAAGCUUUCUUCUUCACAAGUUGAAAUUGCAUAAAUGACAAAUGAUAUUUCCUUCUUAGUUGUCUUUAUUAAAGCCCUUGUUCCAAAAAUUAAAGGCUUUACUCUUGAUGAUUUUUUAAUAGGUCUUGCCUAAAAAUAUUCUAUGUGAAUUUCAAUCUUAUAAAAUCUCCAAUCUAUAAAUGGAUUAUAUCUUUUCAAUCACAAAAGUUCUAAAAUAAUAUGAUUUGAUAAAAUUCUAAUAAUAUCAAAUAUUAUUUUAUUACUAUGGCCUUUAAAUAAUAAUUCUAGUAAUAUGGUCUCAUGAAUCACAUUACCUUAAGAAAAAGGUUGACCAUCUAUUAUUUCUACAUGUAUAAGUUUUGACUUCUAUAUUAGAAGAACUUUAUGAAGUUUAAAAAACUUGUCAUUUAAAAAAUAAGCAGAUGUUCUUGAAUCUAUUAAGAUAUUUAUUUGUAGGUUAAGAAAUAAAAAUAUAAUAAAAUAAUAAACAGGUUAGGCAGAUAUCAUGGACAUAUUCAUGUAAGCUAGUAAUUACAUAUACAAAUAGGUGGAAGUAAGUAAAAAUAGGUAAAAGUAAGUUAAUUCUAUAGUAUUUAAUAUAGAAGCUUUUUAGAAGCUUUAUAGACGCUGCUUUGACUUCAAAGGUGUCUUUAAUUGACUUUUUAGAUUAGAAACGUGGUCAACAAGUUAACCAUGUGCCACAUAUAUUGUUAGCUUAAAGAUCAAGCUAACUAUCUGGCCCACACGUAGAAAAACUUGCCUUGUAAGUCAAGGCAUGUGUCCUACAAAGUCAACACAUACUGGAGGUCCUAUAGAACGUCGCCACGUAGCCCCUAAUUAGAUAGUAUAUAUAGAGACAAGAGUGAAGGCUUCUUCACUCUUGUCAACUCCUUUCUUGCUUCUAGUCUAGUUUCAAGGGUCUCUAGUUUUCUUGUCUUUUGGCAAUAGCCAUUCUAGUUUCUCUUUUCAACAUACAUACUUAUUUAUUUAUAUUUUGUUACCUUUCUUUGAGUGAAAGAUCACUUGUUUGAAUUAAUUUUUCAUCGAGUUCUUGUCCUUAACAGAUUGACAAGAGUAUACCUACAAUAUCAGAGCUUUGUCUAAUCUUGAUUAAGAGUAGAUUAUCCUUUUUUUUGAUAAGAUAUAAGCAUAUUAGAAGUUAUGGAUUACCCUCUUCUAAACUGAUAUUGUUCUUAGUAUUUUCUUUGUUCUCAAGUCCUCUCUUCUAUUUGUCUUUAGCGAUAUUAGACAUCUUCUCUUUCCUAAGUGUUAUCAUGGUAGAACUUGUUGAAAUGAAGAGUGCAAUGGGACAAAUGCAAGAGCAAUUGAAGGAGUUAAUACUUGAAAUGCAUCAACUUAAUUUAUCACAACAAGGAGCAACAAGAUUGGUAAGAAGUAAAGAUAUAGAAAUGGUUGGAGCUGCUUCAAUAUCUGCACCAAACCAUGUCCCUUCUCCUAUGGUGGAACUCUCUUCCAGUGUUAGAGAACCAAGAAUUGCCCUACUUGAGAAGUUUGAUGGCACCAGAUCUAAGUCUCAAGGACUUAUCAAUCAAGUGCAACUUGUGAUUAAACUUCAAUCCCAAAGCUAUCCAAAUCUAGGAUUGCAAGUUAGAUUCAUUGGUACGCUUCUUUCAGGUUCAGCACUAUCGUGGUUUUCAUCUUUUCUUGAACGACAAGAACCAAUAUUAGAUAAUCUAGAAGCUUUUUUGGCAGAUUUUUGAACUAUGUAUGGAGAACAUGAUGUAAUUUGUGUUGCAACCAAUAAGAUCCAUAUUUUAUGACAAGGUAAUCGAUCAGUAACGUUGUAAGCUUCACAAUUUUGAUAACUUGCAACUAAUAUCAAGUGGGAUGAUCAUGCAUUUAUUAGCCAAUUUUUCUACGGAUUAUAAUAUGAGGUAAAAAAAAUUAAUGCUCAACUUAUCUGAUCCUCAAACAUUGAGUCAAGCAAUUGACUUUGUUGUAAAGUGCAACAAUUGUCUUUUUGAAUUUCGAUCAAAGAAUCGUACAAGUGGACCUCAACGUUAUUAUAAUUCAAUGGCAAUACCAAUACCUCUUCAACACAUACAUUCAAAAGUAGAGGAUAUACAAAUUGAUGCAGUACGUUUCAAACCUCUUACUGAACAAGAAAAGACUCAUCGUCGUCAAGAACGAUUAUGUUUAUAUUGUAGAGAAUCAAAAUACACUGCUCAACAUUGUCGAAAGAAAUGACGCAACCACAAAAUGAAGAGUAUGGCUGUCAAAGAAGACAAUAUGUCAAAAAAUGAGUUUGUCUAGCUACAAUAGAGAACGUGCAGCUGGAACCUUGCACAACAUCUAGUAAAGGUCCUAUUCUCUCCUCAGAGCCCUCUCCUUGUUUUACAUUAAAUGUUAUUUUAGGACCUAAAUAUUACAAAGCCUCUGCCUUGUUAGAUUCAGGAGCCUCGACGUGUUUCUUAGAUGAAGAAUUUACUAAAAGACAUAGCAUAUCUUUAGUAAAGAAAACUAAACCUGUUCAUAUAGAAGUCAUAGAUGGUCGUCCAUUGUCUUCUGGAGAUAUUACUCACAAAACCCUUCCUAUAGAAGUAAUAAUCAAUAGUCAUAAUAGCUUUGUAGUAUUUAAUAUCAUUAGAUCUCCCUCUAAUCUAGUCAUUUUAGUUUAUCGUGGUUAAAAAAAUACAACCCUCAAAUAGAUUGGAUUUUCUAAACUCUUACUUUCUCUAAAAGUAUAACUAAAAGUGUAGUUAAUCAAGUAGAGAGUCAUAAGUCCAGUUCAAUUAAAUCCAUAUUUAAAGGUGUAAAAGCUUUCUUGCAUGCUGCUAUGAAAGAUUUACCAUAUAUUAUUUAUGCCACACCUGUUUCUAAUGGUGGAAAGACUUCAAGUGGCAUUCCAAGCCAAUAUCGAGAAUUUUAAGAUGUAUUUGAAAAAAAAAAUGUGGAUAUACUUCCAGAACAUCGUCCCUAUGAUUGCUCAAUUGACCUUCAAGAAGGAGCACAACCGCCAUUUGGACCAAUCUAUAGAUUAUCGCAAAAUGAGUUGGCUGAACUCAAGGAGUAUAUUGAAGAAAAUCUAGCCAAGAAUUUUAUACGCCAUUCUAAAUCUCCGCCAGGAGCUCCAAUUCUAUUUGUGAAAAAAAAAGAUGGAUCAUUGCGGAUGUGUGUUGAUUAUCGAGGACUCAACAAGAUUACCAUCAAGAACAGGUAUCCACUAUCAUUAAUAUUUGGACUUCUUGAUCAACUGAAUCAAGGUAAGAUCUAUACAAAAAUAGAUCUUUGGGGAGCAUACAAUCUAGUACUCAUCAAAAAAGGAGAUGAAUGAAAGACUGUGUUUCGAACUAGAUAUGGACAUUUUGAAUACAACGUCAUGCCUUUUGGACUUACAAAUGCACCAGCAGCUUUUCAACAUGUAAUGAAUGAUAUUUUUUGAGAGUUUUUGGACGAUUUUGUGGUCUGUUAUCUAGACGACAUCUUGAUCUAUUCUAAGAAUCCAAAAGAACAUGAACUUCAUGUUUGUCAUGUAUUACAAAAAUUAAGAGAUGCAAGACUCUAUGCCAAGAUAGAAAAGUGUGUGUUCUACACUACUCAAGUCAAUUUCUUAGAUUAUAUCAUUUCAAAUGAUGGACUUAUGAUGGAUCCUAAGAAAGUUCAAACUAUUAUAGACUGGAAGAUCCCAAAAACGAUAAGACAUGUCCAAUGUUUUUUGGGAUUUGCCAACUACUAUCGGAUCUUCAUCAAAGACUUCUCUCGAGUUGCAGCUCCACUUACAUGUUUGACUUGUAAAGACAAACUCUAAUGGAAUCAAGAAGCGAAAGUUGCUUUUGAAUCUUUGAACACAACAUUUGUUUCUGUACCAAUCUUGUAUCAUGUUGAUUUUUCCAAAGUAUUCUUUAUGGAAACAGAUGCAUCAGACUUUGCUCUGGGUACGGUUUUAUUACAACUGGGAACAGAUGACAAACUUCAUCCAGUAGCCUUUCAUUCAAGAAAAUUUUCAGCAGCAAAAAUCAAUUAUGAGAUCCAUGACAAAAAACUUCUUGCAAUUAUGGAUUCUUUUCAAGAAUGCUGUCAUUAUCUAGAAGGUACUUCGAGUUCAGUCACCGUAUAUACGAAUUAUAAGAACCUCAAGUGAUUUAUGUCAACAUGCGUAUUAAAUCAUCGUCAAGCUCAUUGGAGCAUGUCUUUAUUAAGAUUCAAGUUCAUCAUUACUUAUCGGCCAAGAAAACAACAAGGUUUGUCCGAUGCCUUGUUUAGACGUUCUUAUCUUGUACCAAAAGAAGGAGCUGCAGCUUUUGAGUAACAAAAAAUGGUUCUCUUGAAGCCGGAGUAAUUUCACCUUUGAGCAAUAAAAUCAACAUUGACUGUUAAUUUAACUUUUCUUAAGCAAGUCCAAUUAAGUAUGUCUUCAGACCCUCUUGUUCAUGAUAUCAAGAAUAAUUCUUUUAAAUCUCAUGAUCCCUCUAAAUUUGAAUUUAAGAACAACCUAUUCUAUUUUGAAGGAUGCCUAUAUGUUCUAGAAAGAGAAGCACGUUUAUGUAUUCUUCAAGUUCGUCACGACUUCCCAGCAGUAGGACAUUUUGGAUAUAAUAAGACUUUGGAGCUGAUAUCUAGGGAUUUUUGGUGGCCUCAAAUGUAAAAGGCAGUGAAAGAUUUUGUAUAUUCAUAUGAUGUUUGCUCAAGAUUAAAAACUCCUUGUCAUCGACCUUUUGGACUUCUUUAGCCAUUACCAAUUCUAGAACAACCAUGGUCUUUUGUUUUUAUAGACUUCAUCACGGAUCUUCCAAUCUCAGGUUCUUAUGAUUCUAUAUUCGUGAUAGUAGAUCAUUUUACCAAAAUGGCAUAUUUUGUACCAUGUACAAAAUCUAUCACAAGUGAAGAAACAGCUAAGCUCUUUCUUGACAAUAUCUAUCACUAUCAUGGAUUAUCUAAAGAUAUUAUAUUUGAUAGGAGAACUCAAUUUGUAUCAAGAUUUUGGCGGACUCUUUUCAAGAUUCUAAAAGUGGAUAUAAAACUAUCUUCGACAUUCCAUCGUCAAACUAAUGGACAAACGGAGCGUGUUAAUCAAGUUUUGGAGCAAUAUUUAAGAUGUACCAUUAACUACUAAUAAGAUGAUUGCACAACUCUUUUGCCAUUGGUAAAAUUUACUUAUAAUAAUACAGUACAUUCUUCUACAAAACAAAUACCUUUUUUUGCUAAUUAUGGUUAUCAUCCAUGACUUGAUAUUUUUGACUUUUCAAAAGUUGAUAAUCUUGCUGCAAAAGAUUUGGUGAUUCAUUUGUCAAAGCUACAUGUAACAAUGAAGGUGCAGUUAAAAGAGGCUUAAGAACAACAAAAGGUGAAUGCGAAUAUCUAUUGAAAGGAACAACCACCAUUCCACUUAGGUGAUAAGGUAUGGCUACUUCGUCACAAUAUUAAGACCUCUCGUCCUUAUAAUAACUUGGACUAUCGAAGGCUUGGACCAUUUUCUAUUUCUGUACAAAUCAAUCCAAUUGCAUAUCGUUUACAUCUACCGAAGUCAAAAAAAAUCCAUCUAGUAUUCCACAUGUCUCUUCUUGAACCAUACAAGACAGUGGACAUACCAAGAAGACAAUAAGCUCCCCCUCCUCCUAUAGAAGUGGAUAAUAAUGAAGACUUUGAAGUAGAAGAAGUCUUAGAUUCAAGGCAGUGCCAAAAUAAAUUAGAAUAUCUUGUCCAUUGGCAUGGAUAUGAUAUUAGUGAAUGCACAAGGGAGCCAAUAAAGAAUCUUGCAAAUGCAGCAAAGGCGGUAGAGGCUUUUCAUUGACAACAUCCAUCAAAAUCAAGAUGAAAACCUUCCUUAUAAAAGAAAGAAGAUCUAGGCAAGAUAACAUUCUACUUUCAAUCCUUGUUUGUAGCUUCUUUGUAGUUAUGACACUCAGGAGAAGGAGAACCAACAACCAGCAGAUUCGACUCAAAAGCCUUUAUUUGUUGACCUGUCGGACGAGACAUUACGAUUGUCACAACCUUCAAGAUGACGCAAUCGAGAUGAAGAUCUUCAAGAAUGACAUGUUCUUCCUCGAAUAGAUGGUAAGAUAUAACGUAUUUGGUAUCACGAUUUGGAAAAGGACUUCCGAUGUUUGGUGAUUUUGCUAGAGGUAGGAACAACUCCUGAUGGUGUUCCAAAUGUUCUAUUUGAAGGAAGUUAUGAAGGCCUCAACAAUGAUCAAAUAACUGGGUGGUCUUCCUGCCCUAGUAUGGGAUACUACCGAUGGUUGAGAGGCCCUAUCAAUCAUCUUCAAAGAGAACAAAGAUGAGGGUGUGUGGCAAAUACAAUUUCCAUCAUAGAUUUUCUUAACAUAUGAUGAGUGCUCCUUGUGGAACUCGUCCCUAGAAGGUGGGAUAAUGUCAUGGACAUACUCAUGUAAGCUAGUAAUUACAUAUAUAAAUAAAUGGAAGUAAGUAAAAGUAAGUAAAAGUAAGUUAAUUCUAUAGUAUUUAAUAUAGAAGCUUCCUAAAAACUUCAUAGACACUGCUUUGACUUCAUAGGUGUCUUUAAUUGACUUUUUGGAUUAGAAACGUAGUUAACAAGUUAACCAUGUGCCACACAUGUUGUUAGCUUAAAGAUCAAGCUAACUAUGUGGCCCACACAUAGAAAAACUUGCCUUGUAAGUCAAGGCAUGUGUCCUACAAAGUCAAUACAUAUUGGAGGUCCUAUAGAACGUCGCGACAUAGCCCCUAGUUAGAUAGUAUAUAUAGAGGCAAGAGUGAAGCCUUCUUCACUCUUGUCAAUUCCUCUCUUGUUUCUUGUCUACUUUCAAGUAUCUCUAAUUUUCUUGUCUUUUGGCAAUAGCCAUUCCACUUUCUCUUUCAAUAUACAUACUUGUUUAUUUAUAUUUUUUUACCUUUCUUUGAGUGAAGGAUCACUUGUCUGAAUUGCUUUUUCAUCGAGUUCUUGUCGUUGACAGCAGAGAGAGAAGAAACUUGAUGAAUUUGAGAUAUUAGAAUGUUUAGCUGCAUGGUCCCUAUUGUCGCUAGACUUCUUUAUUUUCUUGAACAACCAUACUCUUAGUCUUGGUUUUUUAUUCUUCCUUAGGACAAUUUCCAAAUUUAUGGCCAUCUUUAUUAUAAUAUAAGCAUUAACCUUGUUCAAAUUGAUGCUUCUUUUUUUCUAUUGUAAGAAAUUUGAAGUGCACUACAUCAAUUUGUAUAUCUUCAAUUCCAGAAUGUAAAUGUAAUAUAUUUGUUGAAGCAACAAAAUACAAAUUUAUACUAUAUUGCUUUGUCAAAAUGCACAAGUAUUGAUCUUGAUGGCUUUGAUUGAACAAUUAUCAUACUUUAUAGCUUGAUUGAUAGCUUCAUUGAGUAUUUGAGGAUCAAGCAAUGAUAACAAUAUGAAUUUAGAAGUGGGUAUUCUCCAACUUCUAAAACGCUUAGAUACUUUUAAGAAAAGUGGUAAUCAACUUUCUAUUAAUAAGGAUCAAGCUCUAAUAUUGAUAAGAGGGUAGUUUCAACAAAUUCUCAGAAGUAUAUUAUAUGGAAGACCAAAAAAGAAGUUGAAAAAAAAAAUUCAACAAAAAAACUAGCAAGAACUUGAUUAAACUAGAUGAAUAUAAGAUCAAUACCAAGAAAGAUGAGCUAGAACUCUAAGAAAUGUAUUGUUGACACUGAGGAUUUUCUUAGCCUCAAUUCCAAUAAAUAUUAGGUAUUAGGAAGCUUCUUGAGAAGUAAUUUUGUUUUUUGAAGACAAAACAACUUUAAGAAGCUUUUCAAGAAGUUCCUACAUUGCUUGAAGAUGAAGCAAUCUUAUGAAGCUUCUCAAACAACUUCUUUAAUUCUUCUAGAACUUUCUAAAAUCUAUUGAAAUAUUUUAAGAACCUUCUAAAACUUUCUAGAAAUAUUUUUAGAAUCUUUUAGAGCCUUUUAAAAUCUAAUAGAAUAUUCUAAUAAUAUUUCUAAAAUCUUCUUAUUAAAUAUUUGUAAUAAAAAAUAAGUAGAUAAUAUAUUUUUUAAAAACAACAAAGAUUUUUUUUAAAUAUAAAUUAGAUUUGAUGGUACAUCAUGUGGUUACAAUAGCAUAUCUAUAAAAUUUCUACUUCCAAAAAGUUAAUAUAGAAGCAUCAAACAACUUAAAUACUUACUUAGUGUUGAGAUCAUUAAAUGUAGCUAGCGCUCUCCAUAAUACUUACUGUAGACUACAGUAAAUAUCAUAGCUACAAUAUUUAGAGUCUAGUGGAGAAGUACUGUUUAUCCUCUCUCCUUUUCUCUUCUUGUAUACGAGAGACAACCAGAUCAAUAAAAUUUUUAUGUGUGAAGCUCUCUCUUCUUAGAAACCUUCUUGUAUGUAUGACUUACUACUACUUUUGUGUGUGUGUAUUACUCACUAUUACUCUUGUAUCUUUCUAAACAUUCUUAACACGUUAUCAGCAUGACUCUCUUCUACACACUAUCACAAUUUUUUUUGCUCUAGUCUUGACUUUUCUUGCUACUUUUGCUCAGUGUUUGCCUCAUGAUCUUGUUGCUCUUCUUACUGGCCCCUCACACAUUAGCUGCUUGCUUAGAAUACUUGUUCUACUCUUUGACUUACUUGCUUAGAAUACUUGAUCUAGUCCAGCUUCACCUUGCUCAUGCUGCGUCCAACGCCUGCCACAAAACUACUGCCACUGCCAUCCUACCACCGCUCACAUUGACACUCCCACUGCAAUCUAUCCUGCCAUCACUGACGCUGUCGCCCAGCUUGCCGUUGCUACCGUUGCUACCCGCUGAAUCUUAUAUAUAUAUAUAUAUAUAUAUAUAUUUCAAGUUCAAGUUUAUGAUUUUAUUUGACUUUAUAUUUUAAGGUAUGUUUUACUCAACUUUUCUACUUGAUUUUGUAUUUUAUUUAUAGAUUUACUUAUAAUGAAUGCUUCAACAUCUUCAAUUGCUUGUACUAUGGUUCCAACCAUUACUAGUGCAUCCUAAUAUUUUCAAGCUUUUUUAUUUCUACCAUUGAAUGUGGAUAGAAACAAUUAUCUAUUAUGGGCAAAAAUGGCAAAAGCAAAUUUAAUUGCAAAACAACUCUCGGAUGCUAUUAUGUUUAAAGAAUCUCUUACAAUAAGUAUUUCUAUUUCUUCUUCUAUUCGUUGAAAAGUACUUCUCCUUUGUCAUCAUCUUGUACCUGCAUUAUAACUUCAAUACUGGGAAAUGGAAGAUCCUGCAGAACUUUGGAAGAAUCUUAAAUCCAAGUUUGAUCAUCGAAAGACCAUUUUUCUUCCAUACACACAUCAUAAUUGGACACAUUUACAUGUCUUAGAUUUUUCAAAUUUAAAUGCUUUCAAUAGUGAAAUAUAUUGUAUUGUCUCAGAAUUAUGAUUAUGUGGACAAAGCAUCUCUAAAGAAGAAAUAAUUGAAAAAAUUCUCUCUACAUUUCUUUCUAUAUUUGUUGUGCUUGCACAACAAUAUAGGAAUAUAAAAUUUCAGACUCAUUUUGAUCUCAUGUCCUAUAUACUUCUUGUAGAGAAGUAAAAUAAGUUAUUCUUGCAUAAUGCGGAAGCUUGUCCUAUUGGAACUACAGUUCCAAAAUCUCAUGCACUUAAUAUUUUAAAAUCUAAGAAAAAAUUAUAUAAACAUAGAAAACGUGCUUAUAAGUAUUAGGGUAGUCAUAGUCAUGACCAUUUCUACCUAUAUGAAAAGAAUUAACGUUCUACUAUUAAUUGUAGUAGAAAACAAAAAUCAGAGAUGCAUUCUUGCUAUAAGUGUGGAAUGAUUGGACAUUUAGCACAUGUGUGCCGUACUUCAGAAUAUUUUAUUAAAAUAUUCCAAAAAAAUAAAAAACUACGAGCUGAGGCUCGUGAAGUUUAUACCAUGGAUGAGUCCAUGGAUUCAAUUGGUGUUAAUGACUUAGAGGCUUAUAUGAAUGACAAAAUCUCUAAUGAUGAAUCAAAUGAUGCACUCAUUGAUUUUGCACUAACACAUACUAUCUUGCGAGAUAGAUGAUUUUUUAUUGAAAAAUCUUCAACUUGGUAAACUAAAAAUAUAAUGACUAUGGCUGGAACAAAUGCAUUUUGUUUCCAAGAAGGCACAAUGAUGGUAAAAUUACUUGCGAGUUCUAUCAUAAAAUAUAAGCAUGUGAUGUUUGUACCCUCAGCACCUCGGAGUCUGAUCAACUAUCGAGAUGUGCGUAUUAAUGGUUAUCACCUCUCAACUGCUAUUUUAAAUAGAAAAGAGAUUUUGGUUCUUGCGAAGAAUCAUAAAGUUAUUGAAAAAGCUUAUGCUAUAGAAAAUGGUUUAUACCGAAUUGUGAUUCGGCCUUCUGUGAUAUUUAAUUUUGUAUCAUCUAUCACAGAGAGUCGUGUUUCUUUCUAGAAUGGACGAUUGGGACAUCCAAGAUCCACAUUAUUUAGAAAGAUCAUUCCAUGUAUAACUGGGCACAAUUUAAAGCCUACGGAUAUAGAGUCUAUGAAAUUAUGUUGUGCAUACGUAUAAGGUAAAAUGAUUAUUCAGCCUUCAAUUUGAAAACUUCUAUAAGAAUUACCACCAAUUCUUGAAAGAUUACAUGGUGAUAUUUGAGGUCCUAUUAAUCCAAUAUUAAGACUAUUUCGUUAUUUCUUCGUCUUUGUUGAUGCAUCAGGUAAAUAAUCACAUAUUUCAUUAUUAUCAACUCAAAACAUAGUGUUUGCCAAUCUUAUAUCUAUGCAUAUUUAUUUUCAAGCUUAUUUUCCUGAUUAUCUUAUAAAAACAUUACCUAUGGAUAAUGUAAAAGAAUUCGCAUCAAAGUCUUUUGAAGACUAUUGUACUACAACAAGAAUUGAGUUGACAUAUUGUAUUCCAUAUGAACAUACUCAAAAUGGACUUGCAGAGUCAUUUAUAAAGCGUAUACAACUCAUUACUCGGCUACUGUUCCUUCAUGCAAAUUUACCUGCAUCUAUGUGGGAUCAUGCAGUUUUACAUGCUGUAGCAUUAAUAUGCUGUUGACUUGUAACAUGACUAUAUGGUAAAAAUAUAAAUGAAAAAGAUAUUAUUAAUAUUUAGUCAUCUUGGAUAUUAAAAAUAGUGGCCAAUUCUAGUGCCAAUAUUCAGGGUCAGUUAAUAUCAUCCCACCAGCGUCAUCAAACCAAGUACCCUCCGUACCAACGAGACAACCAAGAUCAUUUUUCAACCCUAAAUGGAACAAGCCUAGUAGGUAUAUACCAAUGGAGACAUCCAAUAUGCAUGAUGGAGGUGCAGGAAGACCACUUCGUCAUUUUUGUUGAAGACAGGUUGAUCAUUAUGCCAGUGAAUGUUCUAAUCUCAAAGCCAGUGAUGAUUACGCAUUAGUGUAUAGGAAUUAUAAGUAGCCGAGGCAUACUUAUCUGCAAUGUAAUGCUCCAUCCAAUUUCAAUAAACAGGAUCAGUAAAUCCAAAGCCAAGAAAAAAUUGAGGAAAUAAAUCAAGGUCCUUAAGAUUCUUUGGUAAAUCGGGUGGAAUGAGUCCGAGCCAUUCUUACCAAGAGUCGGCAAAAGGAGAAAGGAUCAAUUCAAAAUUUGGGUGACUCUGAUGUGAAGGGCCAAUUUGAUCCAAUUACGGGGACAUCCAAUCCAGGACUUGGUAUGGCCCUCUUAGCCAAUAGGAGACCUGACUUGGUUGGGCAACCCAAUGAGGUUCCGAAUAUGGAGUCUUCGGUUCCAUUUCAAGCUGUUCCGUUGUUGGGGUAGAGAGAGUUUGCCUCAAAAAAAUGUUGGGCUUCUAGCUAUCACUAAUUAUUCAAUCAAGCUUGAAAAUAAGAGAAGUCCUAAUUUUAUAUAUAAUUUUUCUCUUUUUGAGUAAUUACACCAAAUACACAAUCCUCAAGUAAUUUACAACUUCCAGAAUAUGAUAAAAUCUCUAAAACGUUGUUUAUUCUUAUAUGGAGAUUUUUUUGAACUUCAACACCUCAUAUCUCCUAAUCUGACUGUCCAAACAAAUUCAAAUUUUACAUGAAGUACUGAUGUAUUCUUAUUAACUUUUAUAACAAUUUUCAACUGCAAAUUCGUUGCAAAACUUGAGAUAUCUUGAAAACCCUAACAGUCGCUUCAAACCCUUAUCUUUAUAUAUCCACGUACAAUUUUUUUCAUAUCUCACAAAAUAUAAGCUUAAAUACUACGAAAUUUGUAUGUAUAGCUUUUUAACACAAAAUUUUAUAUUCUCCAAAAAGUUUGAACCAAAAAUUUGUCCGAAUACUCAAGUUAUGGUUCCAACCAUUACUACAAACAAACCCACUUACUUACUGCUUUUGAUUUGGAAGCACUGCCUUGAAUUCCUUAUAACUCCUUCAUAUGAACUCCAAAAGCAAUAAUUCUUUCAUGAAAGAUGUAGGCUUUAGAAUCGCCAUUCCAAUUGCACCUUUUGAACUUAGAAAUGUGGUGUAAAACUCCUCAUAUCCUCAAAUGAGUAAUAGUAUGGCUUAAAUUAAUACCUCAACUUCAAACGACUAUAAUUUCUUCAUCCUAACUUCGAAUCCUCUAAUUUUUGUAUAAAAAUUGUAUCGCAAAUCCUAAAAUUUACAAAUAUUACUUGUAAUCUCCGAAUGCCUUCUUUGAAGUCACCGAAACUCUUGUUAAGGUCGUGGGCAGCCUCCUCAAAGUCCAUUGGGCAUGGUAUUCGACCAAUAGCGAUGAAGUUUUCCAUUCCUUGCCUUCAUACAACCAUACUUUGCUUUCAUCCCUCCCAAAUAGCCUCCUACUAGUUUAGAUUUUCAUCCUUAGGCUUUCAACUUCUCCCAAGACUUCAUAUUAAAUAUUUAGGUCCUAUAUAUUUAUAUAUAUAUAUAUAUAUAUAUAUAUAUAUAUAUAUAUAUUUUUAAUAUUAAAAUCAAAACAAGUAAAGAAACAAAGUAAAGUUACUUAUAUCAAUUUCUUUUAAUUUAAUCUACUAGCCACUCUAACAUACUUCUAGAUUUAUUAACAUAGAAUAUAUUUUAACUAAUUUUUACAUACUGUAAGCAUUCUCAAGCAAGAAAGCACGUAAUAUGAUAUAAGUGGUGAACCCGACGUGAAAGCUUGAAGUAGAAGAUAUUGGAUUUUGUUUAUUUUUAUUUUAUUUUGUAGAGAAUGAGAAUACAAAUUUUGAAGGAUCUUUGGGAGGAGCUUGAAGUGGAGCUUCUAGUAGAGUUUCUUCUAAAAGACAGGGUAUGUACAUGGAUCCAUCUAUUGCUAGUAUGUUUCAAGCCUUAUCAUUAUCUAUGCAACAACAGCAAAGCAAUGAUCACAAAGAAGCUUUAGCAACCAAAGCUUUGCAAGCAGUAGUCAAUAAAAUUGACCAGUUUGAUGGAAGGGAUAUUUCAAAGUAUUUAAGAUGUUAUGUUUGAGAAAUAGAAUUAAAUCAGGUUUUUGAAAAGAAGAUGGUUGAAUUAUUUGGACUAGCCACGAUACCGGAGAUAAGAGAACAUAUUACCUCAAUUAUGGAGCAUUAUGGAAAUUCAUGGGAGAUUUUUUCACAUGCAUUAAAAGACGAAUAUUUCUUGAAGGACAUUGAUCGUAUUAUUAAAAAACUAUUUCUAGAAUGGAUUGAGCGGCCUAAUAAGAAUUUACAAGCAAUAGAGCUACUAAAGAAAUUUGAGAGGCAGUAUUCUCAAUUAUCGAAGGUAGAAAAAUUGACAUUAGAGCCGAACAAGGUUGAAUUAUUUCUUCAAGCUGUUGAUGGAGAAUAACAAGGGAAAUUGGUAUUGCAUCUUAAAAACAAAGAAGAAGAUGAAGGAUUGACAACAAAGUGGAAAAAUAUUGAAAAUGGAGUGGAUUUGCUUGCAAAAAGAGAAAGGAGGAAGGUGUCAAGGACAAAGACUCGAUGAGGGAAAAUAUACACAAAAAGGCUAUCUCGAUAUAAUAAGUCAAAAUAUAAACAAGUAGGUAUAUUAAAAGGAAACUAGAUGGAUAUUGCCACAAGACAAGAAACUAAAGACUCUUGAACCUAGAUUAGAAGCAAGAAAGGAGUUGACAAGAGUGAAGAAGCCUUCACUCUUGUCUCUAUAUAUACUAUCUAACUAGGAGCUACGUGGCGACAUUCUAUAGGACCUCCAAUAUGUGUUGACUUUGUAGGACACAUGCCUUGACUUACAAGGCAAGUUUUUCUACGUGUAGGCUACAUAGUUAGCUUGAUCUUCAAGCUAACAACAUGUGUGGCACAUGGCCAACUUGUUGACCACGUUUCUAAUCCAAAAAGUCAAUUAAAGACACUUAUGAAGUCAAAGCAGCGUCAAGGAAGUUUCUACAAAGCUUCUAUAUUAAAUAUUAUAGAAUUAACUUACUUUUAUCUACUUUUACUUAUUUCUACCUAUUUCUAUAUGUAAUUAUUAGCUUACAUGAUUAUGGCCGUGACAUUACCUUCCCUUCUAGAGAUGAGUUCUACGAAGAAUAGUCAUCAUAUGUUGAGGAAAUCUAUGAUGCGACAAAUUAUAUUCGCCACAUACUCUGAUCUCUGUUCUCUUCGAAGAUGAUUGAUAGGGCCUCUCAACCAUCGGUAGUGUCCCAUACCAGGGCAGGAAGACCAUCCAGUUAUUUGAUCAUUGUUGAGGCCUUCGUAACUUCCUUCGAAUAGAAUAUUUGGAAUACCAUCAGGAGUUGUUCCUACCUCUAGCAAAAUCACCAAACAUCGGGACUCCCUUCCCAAAUCGUGAUACCAAACGCGUUGUAUCUCACCAUCUAUUCGAGGAAGAACAUGUCGUUCUUGAAGAUCUUCAUCUUGAUUGCGUCAUCUUGAAGGUUGUGACAAUCGCAAUGUCUCAUCCAACAGGUCAGCAAACGAAGGUUCUUGAGUUGAAUCCGCUGGUUGUUGGCUCUCCAUCUAAUUAGUGUCACAAAUGCAAAGAAGUUACAAACAAGGAUAGGAAAUUGAAUGUUAUCUUGCCUCAAUCUUGUCUCUUUUAUAAGAGAGAUUUUCAUCUUGGUUUUGAUGGAUGUCGUUGAUGAAAAUCUUUGACUUUAGCUGAUGCAUUUGCUAGAUUCUUGAAUGGCUUCCAUGUGCGUUCACUAAUAUCAUAUCCGCGCCAAUGAACAAGAUAUUCCAGCUUAUUUCGGCGCCGCCUUGAGUCUAAUAUUUCUUCCACCUCAAAUUCUUCAUUAUUAUCUACUUCUAUAGCAGGCGGUGGCAUUUGUCUUCUUCCUUGUAUAUCCACUAUCUUAUAUGAUUCAAGAAGAGACACGUGGAAUACAUGAUGGAUCUUCAUUGACUCCGGUAGAUGUAACCGAUAUGCAACUGGGUUGAUCUGUUCAGAAACAGAAAAGAGGCCAAGCCUACGAUAGUCCAACUUGUCACAAGGUCGAGUAGUCUUGAUAUUGCGACAAAGUAGCCAUACCUUAUCAUCCACGUUGAGUUGUGGUUGCUCCUUACGAUAUAGAUCUACGUUUAUCUUUUGUCGUUCUUAAGCUUCCUUCAAUUGCGUCUUCAUUAUUGCAUGUAACUUUGACAACCGAUUUGCCAUAUCUUCUGCUGCAGGAUUAUCUACUUUUGAAAAAUCAAAAGUAUCAAGUCGUGGAUGAUAGCCAUAAUUGGCAAAGAAAGGUGUUUGUUGUGUGGAAGAAUGUACCGUAUUAUUAUAAGCAAACUCUGCCAAUGGCAGAAGGGUUGUCCAAUCAUCUUGUUGGUAAUUGAUAGUACACCUUAAAUAUUGCUCCAAGACUUGGUUUACGCGCUCUGUUUGUCCAUCAAUUUGAGGAUGGAAAGCCGAAUAUAGCUUUAUGUCCACUUUUAAAAUCUUGAAAAGGGUCCUCCAAAAUCUUGACACAAAUUGAGUUCCCCUAUCCAAUAUGAUAUCUUUAGGUAAUCCAUGAUAGCGAUAGAUAUUAUCAAUGAAAAGCUUAGCUGUUUCUUCACCUGUGAUAGAUUUUGUACAUGGCACAAAAUGUGCCAUCUUGGUGAAAUGAUCUACUAUCACAAAUAUAGAAUCAUAAGAUCUUGAGCUUGGAAGAUCUGUGAUGAAAUCCAUAGAAACAGAAGACCAUGGUUGUUCUAAUACAGGUAAUGGCUGAAGAAGUCCGUAAGGUCGAUGACGAGGAAUUUUUGAUCUUGAACAAAUAUCACAUGAUUGUACAAAGUCUUUGACUGACUUCCACAUUUGUGGCCACCAAAAAUCUCUUGAUAUGAGUUCCAAAGUCUUAUUAUAUCCAAAGUGCCCUGCUGUUGGAAAGUCAUGACGUGCUUGAAGAACACGUAAACGUGCUUCUCCUUCUGGAACAUAUAGGCGUCCUUCAAAAUAUAAUAGAUUAUUCUUGAACUCGAACUUAGAAGGAUCAUGAGACUUGGAAGAAUUAUUCUCGAUAUCAUAAAUAAGAGGGUCUAAGGACAUACUGGACUGGAUUUGCUUGAGAAAAGUUGAAUCAACAGUCAAUGUUGAUUUCAUUGCUCGGAGAUGAAAUUGCUCCGAUUUCAAGAGGACCGUUCUUUGUUGCUCAAAAGCUGCAUCUCCUUCUUUUGGUGCAAAAUAAGAACGUCUAGAUAGGGCAUCAGACAAACCUUGUUGUUUUCCUGGCCGAUAAGUGAUAAUAAACUCGAAUCUUGACAAAGACAUAUUCCAACGAGCUUGACGACGAUUCAACACGCGUGCUGACAUGAAAUACUCGAGGUUCUUGUGAUCUGUAUACACAGUGACUGGACUAGAAGCGCCUUCUAGAUAAUGAUGCCAUUCUUGAAAGGAAUCCAUGAUCGCAAGAAGUUCUUUAUCGUGGAUCUCAUAAUUGAUCUCGGCUGCAAAGAAUUUUCUUGAAUGAAAAGCUAUCGGAUGAAGUUUGUCAUCUGUUUCCAUUUGUGAUAAAACUGCACCCAAGGCAAAAUUUGAUGCAUCUGUUUCCAUAAAAAAUGCCUUGGAAAAGUCAACACUAUAUAAGACUGGUGCAGAGACAAACGAUGUCUUCAAGGCUUCAAAUGCUGCUUCCGCUUCUUGAUUUCAUUAGGAUUUAUCUUUACUCGUCAAGCGUGUAAGUGGAGCUGCAACUCAUGAGAAAUCUUUGAUGAAGAUCCGAUAGUAAUUGGCAAAUCUCAAUAAACAUUGGACAUCUCUUACUGUCCUUGGAAUCUUCCAAUCCAUGAUUGUUUGGACUUUCUUAGAAUCCAUCAUGAGACCAUCAUUUGAAAUGAUGUAUCCUAAAAAGUCAACUUGAGUAGUGUGAAAUACACACUUUUCCAUUUUAGCAUACAAUCCUGCAUCUCUAAGUUUUUGUAAUACUUGACGAACAUAUAUUUCAUGUUCUUUGACGUUCUUAAAAUAGAUCAAGAUAUUGUCUAGAUAGCAGAUGACAAAAUUGUCUAAGAAUUCACGAAAUACAUCAUUCAUGAGAUGUUGAAAAGCAGCUGGUACAUUCGUGAGUCCAAAGGGCAUGACAUUAUAUUCGAAAUGUCCAUACCUGGUUCGAAACGCAGUCUUCCAUUCAUCUCCUUCUUUGAUCUGUACUAGAUUAUAUGCUCGUCUUAGAUCUAUUUUUGUAUAGAUCUUAGCUUGAUUCAACUGGUCGAGGAGUCCUGAUAUCAAAGGUAAUGGAUACCUGUUCUUGAUUGUGAUCUUGUUGAGUCCUUGAUAAUCAACACACAUUCGUAAAGAUCCAUCUUUUUUCUUUACAAAUAGAAUUGGAGCUCCUGCUGGAGAUUUUGAAUGGCAUAUGAAAUUCUUCGCUAAAUUCUCGUCAAUAUAUGUCUUGAAUUCAGCCAUCUCAUCUUGCAAUAAACUGUAAAUUGGUCCAAAUGGUGGCUGAGUUCCUUCCUUGAGGUCGAUUGAACAAUCAUAUGUGCGAUGCUCAGGAAGAAUAUCUGCAUUCCUUUUCUCAAAAACAUCUUGAUACUCCUAAUAUUGACUUGGAAUGCCACUUGAAGUCUUUACGUUUUCAAAAAUAGGUGCAGCAUAAAUAGCAAAAGUUGAUCCUUCUUUUGUUGCGUGUAUAAAUGCUUUUGCACCUAUCAGUACGGGUUUUACUAUACUAGACUUAUAAUUUUUUACUUGGUUGGUAGAACUAUUAAUAACGCUCUGGGGAAAGUUAAGUUUACGUGAAUUCCAAUCUAUUCGAGGGUUAUAUUUUUCUAGCCAGGAUAAACCUAAAAUAACUGGAUUGGACGGGGAUUAAAUUAUGUUAAAAGCUAUGUAGCUAUCAUGACCGUCUAUUGUUACUUUUAUAGGAUGAGUUUCAUGAGUGACAUCUCCAGAAGACAAAGGACGACCAUCUAUGACUUCUACAUGUACUGGUUUAGGUUUCUGUACAAAGGGUAUUUUACGACUUUUAACAAAUUGUUCAUCUAAAAAACAUGCUGAGGCUCCCGAAUCUAAUAAAGCAGAGGCUUUGUAAUUCUUAGGUCCUAAAUAUAAGUCUAUAUAAAACAAAGAGAGGGUUCUGAGGAGAGGAUAGGACCUUCAUUAGGAAUUGUACAAGGUUCCAGCUGCAUGGUCCCUAUUGUAGCUGGACGAAUCUGUUUUCCGACAUGUUGUUUUCUUUGACCGUCGUACCCCUCAUUUUAUAGUUGCGUCAUUUCUUUGGACAAUGUUGAGCAGUGUGCCUAGGUUCUCCGCAAUAUAAACAUAAUCCUUCUUGACGACGAUGAAUCUUUUCUUGCUCAGUUAGGGGUUUAAAACGUACAGCAUCAAUUUGCAUGUCUUCUACUUCCGAAUGUACGUUUGGCAAAGAUGUUGAUGUUGCCAUUGAGUAAUAACGUUGAGGUUCUCGUGAAUGAUUCUCGGAAUCGAAAUUUGAAAAGUUGAUUAUCACAUUUUACCACAAAAUCGAUUGCUUGACUCAAAGUUUGAGGAUCAGGUAAGUUGAGCAUCAAUUUCUUUACUUUGUAUUGCAAUCCAUAAAGAAAUUGACUGAUGAGUGCAGCAUCAUCCCACUUGAUGUCAAUUGCAAGUUGUCAAAAUUGUGAAGCAUACACUGUUACUGAGCGAUUUUCUUGUCGCAGAAUUCGGAUCUUAUUUGUUGCAACACGAAUUGCAUCGUGUUCACCAUACAUAGAUCGAAACUCCGCCAAAAAAGCUUCCAAAUUAUCCAAUAUUGGAUUUCGUUGUUCAAAAAAAGACGAAAACCACGAUAAUGCAGAACCAGAAAGUAGAGUGCCAAUAAACCUGACUUGUGAUCCUGGAGCUGGAUAGCUUUGCGGUUGAAGUUCAAUUGCCAAUUGUACUUGAUUGAUGAACCCUCGAAACUUUGAUCUCGUACCAUCAAAUUUCUCGGGUAAGGCAAUUCUUGGUUCUCUAGUGCUUACAAGAUGUUGUACAAUUGGAGAAGGAACGUGAUUUGUUGUAGAUGUUGAAGUAGCUCCGAUCAUCUCUAUAUCCCCACUUUUUGCUAUUCUUGUUCUUUCAUGUUUUGGUGAAUUGAGUUGAUGCAUCGCAAGCAUUAACUCCCUCAUUUGCUCUUGCAUUUGUGCCAUUGCACUCUUCAUUUCAAUAAGCUCUGCCAUAAUGACUCUAAGAAGAAAAAUUUGUUUGAUACUGCUCAAGACAAAAGAAAAGAAAGACUUGAUAACAAAGAAGAUACUAAGAACAAUAUCAGUUUAGAAGUGGGUAAUCCGGAAACUUCUAAUAUGCUUAUGUCUUGUCAAGAGAAAAUGGUAAUCCACUCUCACUCAAGAAAAAUAAAGCUCUGAUAUUGUAAGUGUACUCUUGUCAAUCUGUCAAGGACAAGGACUCGAUGAGGGAAAAUAUACACAAAAAGGCUAUCUCGAUAUAAUAAGUCAAAAUAUAAACAGAAGGUAUAUUAAAAGGAAACUGGAAUGGCUAUUGCCACAAGAGAAGAAACUAAAGACUCUUGAACCUGGACUAGAAGCAAGAAAGGAGUUGACAAGAGUGAAGAAGCCUUCACUCUUGUCUCUAUAUAUACUAUCUAACUAGGGGCUAUGUGGCGACGUUCUAUAGGACCUCCAAUAUGUGUUGACUUUGUAGGACACAUGCCUUGACUUACAAGGUAAGUUUUUCUACGUGUAGGCUACAUAGUUAGCUUGAUCUUCAAGCUAACAACAUGUGUGGCACAUGGCCAACUUGUUGACCACGUUUCUAAUCCAAAAAGUCAAUUAAAGACACUUAUGAAGUCAAAGCAGCGUCUAGGAAGUUUCUAGGAAGCUUCUAUAUUAAAUAUUAUAGAAUUAACUUACUUUUAUCUACUUUUACUUACUUCUACCUAUUUCUAUAUGUAAUUAUUAGCUUACAUGAUUAUGGCCGUGACAGAAGGAUAGGAGUAAUAUUCCAAAAGCAGUACAAGCACCAAAAAUUCUAGUCCAUACAAUAUGAAAAACAAUGCCUAGUGUUCAACCUUCAACAUCUUUAUCGAAGAAAGGAGAGAUGGAGAUUGAAGAAAUUAUACAUGGAAUGUAGAAUCUUCAAAUCAAAUUGGCAAGACUUAAAGAAAAUACUUUUACAAAAAAAUUGAAGAAUGUUUCAAAAAAAGGGUAUGUACAAAGAUGUAUUUGGUGUGAUGAUGCUUCACAUGCUAGGAAGGAUUGCAAUGAAUUUAAAAAUAUGAUACAGCAAGGAGCUAUUUGCUGGAAAGAUGGAAAGAUUGCAUUAAAGGAUACAAAAGAUCUCUUUCAAACCAAUUUUGGCAAAAGAGGUAUGAGAGCAUUGGUUCAAGAUUACUUAAUAUAAUAUGGAAUAGCAAUAGGAGAAAGUGCAAGUUAUGGUGCUAGAGUAGAUGAUGACUUUGGCGGAAGUAUAGAAUCUAGUGAAUUUUGGGCUUCUGCCAUUUGCACAAUGCAAAAUAGAAAAAUAUCUUGAGAAGCGUUAUUGAGGAUUGCAGCUGUAAUACGAGGUGCAACAGGUUGGAAAGAUUUUAUUGAGUCUCUUUCAAUUCAUGCAUAUAUUGCUAAAAGCCAACAUAAAGCCUUGAUAGAAGAAAAGAGACGAGAAAAUUUUGAUGAUACAAGAAAAGAAAAUUCUUCUAAGAGGCAGACUUGAGGAAAUGGGGCUUGUGAGGCGGUUUCACAAAAAUUGCCUAUAAAAGAUACUUUAGCAUCAUUAGAAGAAAAAACAAAGAAAACAAAAGAUAAGGAUAAAUCAAUUGCUUAUAAGCUACUUUUUGAUAUUGAAGCUGCAAUAAAUUUAAAAGAGGAACUGGAAGAACAUAUAUUAAAUGCUAAGGUGGAAUUCACAUUAAAAGAGAUUUUGAGAAUUUCAAAGAAGGAGUUUCAUGAUAUCAUUGACAACAUUAAGCGAAAGAGGUAAUUAAUGGAUGAAGGUGGAAUGAGUCAUGCUAUUGAUACAGGAUUAUAUAAAGAUAAAGAAGAGGUUGAUAAUGGUUACAAACAAUCAACAAAUGAAAAGAAUGGAUAUAAUCAACAAGUACAUUUUGAAAAUUAUAGUGAUAAGGAAAUAGAACUUGAAGCCAUUAUACUCAAAAACAUUGGAUAAGGGCAACUACUGUAGUAUUGGUGAAAGUAGGAGAUAUAGAAGAACCAAUUAUUACUUUAGUUGAUCAUGGUUCUGAAAUAAAUCUUAUGUCUAAGGAUCUUUAUAAAAAGUGGAAAUGGCCAAUUGAUAUGGAACAUGGAUGGGCAAUACGAGCAGCUAAUAACAUGUGAAGCAAAUUAUAUGGAGCUUGUCUAGAUGUCAAAAUUUGGAUUGGAGAUGUUGCAACAGAACAACAUUUCUUUGUUCUAGUUACAACAUCUUAUCCAUUGAUUUUAGGACAAUCUUAUAUUACGACAACACGGAUGGAAACAAAAUUACUAGACAAUAGUUCUGCUUAUACAAGGAUAUGUAGUGAAGAUGGAAGGAAAGCUGUACAGUUUCUAAUAGUACCUUGUAAUCAUGAACGAAAUCAAGAUAGGUUGAGUGAGAAACCAUUGCCAAGGAUUGUUGAAGGAUUUAAGGAUUUUGGAGAAGUACCACUAUAAAGCGAGAUUAUGGAAGUACAAAAGAGGAGGUACUCGCGCAAGAUGAAGGUGCCUUUGAUGCGAGUUUUAUUGGUAUUUUUGAGAAUGAAAAUAUUAUAUAUGAAAAAAUUGAUGAUUUUAGAAGAAAAGAAAAAAAAAGAUUAUAUAGUAUUGAAAUGGAAUUAUGCAAGUUAGGGACAUUAGAAGAUGAUGAAAAGAUUUUAGGUGUUUAUGAAGAAAAUAGAUUGGAGGAUUCUUUAGAAUUAAUUAUAUCUAUUGGAUUAGGGAAUAAUGAUAAGAUUGUAGAAAUUCAUUCAAGGGAGGUUUAUUCUAUACUUGAAUCUUUUCAAGCACCAAAAGUUAUUAUAGAGACAAAAUAUAAAACAAUAGAUAAAAAGAUAAAACCUGUUGCCAGAUCUUUACCAGAAGAUUCUAAGAAAAAAAUGGAAGAAGCAUCAAAAGAAGAGAGUUUAAGAGAUCCAAAGAAGAUUGGACAUCAGUUUACAAAAGAGACUUUUGAAGAAUUGAAGAUUAAAUGUGAUGGUUCCUUAUUUCCAAUAGAAAUUGAAUAUUUCCAAUAAAAAAAUGCUUGCGAAACAAGGUAAAUCAUUUGCCUUUGGGUCUCAUGAAAUAAGAUGUAUAGAUCUUAAUGUUGUUGCUCCUAUGGUUAUCUUUAGAAUACCUCAUGUACCUUGGAACUUAAGGCCAAUUUCCAUGCCGACGGCACAUUUACCUAAAUUGGUGGAAUUAUUGAAAUAAAAGAUGCAAAUGAAAGUUUUGGAGCCUUCUUUUGCUCCAUAUUCUACUCGUUGGUUUAUGGUGCCUAAAAAAAAUGGAUCGUUAUAUUUUAUUCAAGAUAUACAGCCAAUGAAUGCAGUAACUAUAAAAAAUGUAGGUAUAGGACCUUUAGUAUAUGAGUUUACAGAAGCAUUUGCAGGAAGGACAAUUUAUUCAAUGGAUGAUUUAUAUUUGGAUUAUGAUCAAUUCUAACUUGUACAUGGGAGUAGAGAUCUAACAACAAUGAGAACGCCACUUGGAUUACUUAAAAUGUGUACUCUCCCUCAUGGUGCUACUAACUCAGUUGUACAUAUGAAGAAUGAGAUGAACAAGGUAUUAAGACACUUCAUUCCUGAAAAAACUAUGUCCUUUUUAGAUGAUGUUCCUAUCAAAGGAUGUAAAAAAGGAGAAAAAGAUGAAACUUUCGAUGAGAGGGGGUGUCACAAAUAUGUUGUUGAUCAUAUACAAGAUUGUAAAAAGAUUUUUACUCGACUUUCAGGAGUAAAAUCUAUAUUUGGAAUAUAGAAAGUUCUUAUUGUUGGGCAUUUGAAUGGAUUUUAUGAGAGAAAGCUAGAUCCAAGCAAAGUUGAUGCAAUUAGAAGAAUGAAAGAUUCAUGUGACUCUUUAAUGGAAGUACGUAGGUUUUUAGGAAUUUGUAUAUUUUAUCAUAUAUGGAUUUUUCAUUAUGUUCAUGUAGCAGAUCCAUUGUAUGAAUUAUUAUGUAAGGAUUAUCGAUUUAAAUGAGAAAGAAAGCAUACUAAAGUAAUGCAGAAGCUAAAGGUGUUAUUGGUGACACCUCCAAUUUUAAAAAAAAUUGAUUAUGACUGUAAUAGACAAGUAAUUCUUACUAUGGAUACCAGUCUUAUUGCUAUUGGAUGGGCUGUGGAUCAAGAUGAUUUCAAUGGAAAUAGAUUUGCAGUUCGAUUUAGAGCUAAAGUUUUAAGUACUCGUCAACGUGCAUAUUUGCAAAACAAAAGCGAACUUUGGGGAGUUGUUUCGGCUAUGAAAGCUGAAAAGAAUUAUUUGAUUGGUGCAACAGUAAUAAUUGAAACGGAUUGCUUGCCAUUACUUAAAAUGAUUACUAAUUAUUCAACGCCGGAUAUUGCAAUGUUAAGAUGGAUUGCUUAUAUUAAGUCAUUAAAUCCAAAAUUUAAGCAUGUUGCUAAAAAAGAUAAUUUAGUAGCAGACAUACUAUUUAGAGUAAGAUAUAAAAGAGAAGACGAAAUGGUUGAAGACAUUGAUGAUGUUGGAUCAAAAUUCUAUUCAGUAUCAAAUCUUAACAAAGAAGACAAGCUAUUUCUUGAAGAAUUUUAUGAAGGAGAAUUACUGGAUAUUGAUCAUUACUUGAAUACCUUGACUAAACAAGAAAAUUGGUCUACAGAAAAAUUUAAAAAAAUAAGAAAAAAAAGCAUAUGGAUUUUUGCUUCAAGAAGGAUUCUUAUGGAAGAGACCAAAGAAAGGAAUUGGAAUGCCACAAAGAGUGAUAGACAAUAAGGAAGAGAAACAAAAAUUAUUAAAGAGAUUUCAUGAUAGUUUAUGGGCAGGACAUAGAGGAAUUUGGGCUACUUUUGCUUAACUUAAGGAACAAUAUUGGUAGAGAAAUAUGUAUUAAGAUGUGCUCUUAUUUGUAGAAUGAUGUAAAAUUUGUCAAGCGUAUUCUAAUAUAUGACAUUGAGAUGGUCUUCAUCCUACAUAUCAUCUAAUUAUUCAUUUUAAAUGGGUUGUUGAUUUGGUUAAUAUGCCAAUCAAAUUAUGGCAAAUGAGAUUUUUGGUCUUAGCUCAAGAAGAUUUAGCAAAUCAAGUAGAAGGAAGAGUAUUGAGAACAAAAACUACAAAAGGAAUUUGUAGAUUUUUGCUUGAAGAUGUUAUUUGCCACUAUGGAUGUAUAAGAAAAAUCAUUGCAAAUCGUGGAGAAUUAAUUGCACAAGAAGCUCGUGAAUUUUUGAAAGAUGUGGAAUCAAACUAUCACUGACUACUUCUUAUAAUCCUGAAAGAAAUGCAAAAAGUGAACGUGGUCACCCACCGAUUGUGAAAGCAUUAGUUAAAGCUUGUAAUGGAAAGAUUAGACAAUGGCCCCGACUUUUGUCAUUUGCAUUAUGGGUUGAUCAAACAACUCAUAGCUCAGUAACGAGAUUUAUGUCUAUUGAGCUUAUGACAGGCCAAAAAUCAAUUAUGCCAAUUGAAGAAAAAGUACCUACUUGGAAUGUGCUAUCAUGGGAAGAUGGAUUGACAAGAGAAGAAUUUUUAGCUAUUAAAAUUUAAAAAUUAGAGCAAAGAUCAAAAGAUGUGCAAGUAGCAUUAGAAAGGUUAAAAAGAGCAAGAUUACAAAAUAAGACACAAUUUGAUAAGCAGCAUUGAUUGAGGCCUAAAGUAACUGAAGAAUGUCAUUGGGUUUUGGUCUAUGAUAGUAGCUUGGACAAUCAACAUAAUGCUUUAAGGAAGUUUUCUAAACGAUGGUUUGGACCGUAUGUGGUAACAACUAUUCAUGAUAAUGCAACUUACUCAUUGUGGAAGUUGGAUGGAGAAGGUUAAAAAUACCAAUUGCAGGGAAGCGAGUAAAAAUAUUCAAACAAAGAUAUACAAAAAUAAAUAUAGAAGACCUUAGUGAAGAUAUAGAUAUUCCUCAAUAAGAAGAUGAAUUUGACAUAGAUAGCAAAAAUGAUGAAGAAAAUUUGGACGAAGACUUAGAGAAUGUAUUAUGAAUCAAACAACAACUGGAUUAUUUGGUGUAUACCAGAGGAUGCACAGGUUUAGAAGAAGUGGAUGUCGUGUUGUAACAUGACUAUAUACUAAAAAUAUAAAUGAAAAAGAUAUUAUUAAUAUUUAGUCAUCUUGGAUGUUAGAAACAGUGGUCAAUUUCAGUGCCAAUAUUCAGGGUCAGUUAAUGUCACCCCAUUGACGUCAUCGAACCAAGUACCCUCUAUACCAACAAGACAACCAAGAUCAUUUUCUAACCCUACAUGGAACAAGCUUAGUAGGUAUAUACCGGUGGAGACAUCUAUUAUGCAUGAUAGGGGUACAGAAAGACCACUUCCUCGUUUUCGUUGUAGACAGGUUGAUCAUUAUGCCAGUGAAUGUUCUAAUCCCAAAGCCAAUGAUAAUUACGCGUCAGUAUGUAGGAAUUAUAAGCAGCCGAGGCAUACGUAUCUGCAAUGUAAUGCUCCAUCCAAUUUCAAUAAACGAGAUUAGCAAAUCCAAAGCCAAGGAAAAAUUGAAGAAAUAAAUCAAGGUCCUCAAGAUUCUUCGAUAAAUCGAAUGGAAUGAAUCCAAGCCAUUCUUACCAAGAGUCAGCAAAAGGAGAAAGGAUCAAUUCAAUAUUCGGGUGAGUCUAAUGUGAAGGGCCAAUUUGACCCAAUUACGGGGACAUCUAAUCUAGGUCUUGGUAUGGGCCUCUUAUCUAGUAUGAGACCUGACUUGGUUGGACAACCUAAUGAGGUCUCGAAUAUGGAGGCUUCAAUUCCAUUUCAAACUGUUUCAUUAUUUAUGCUGUUUUGGAGAAAACAUCCUUUCCAUAGAAAGAUUCUCUUAGAGAUAGGAAUUCCGAGGAAGCGUUGUCGGCUGUUCCAAAUCAGAGUCCAUAGUGGAAGAAAAGGGGACCACACGGAGUUAAAAAAGAGGAGAGGAUAAGAAAAGGAGCAUUCGGAGAUCAAGAUUUUGGGGUCGAAGAGCUAGCUUCAAGCUCCUUUGAAAGGUGUAGAAUUGGGUUCAUAGGAUUUGGGAGGACUUUGGCAAUCGUUGCUGAAAGUCAUUGUUUGUAUUGGUGAAUUGGUUUUUUUUGCAAUAAAAUAACGGCUAGUAUUCUUGACUGUUUUGUGAAAUUGGAGAAACUUCUAUAGUUGAAAUUUAGAGGUGUCUAGAGGAUUGAGUAUGCCGAGUGCAUGCAAAAGUUUGUGUUAAUCUGAUAGAACAGAUAGAGGUUAUUUGACCAUUAGCAUAAAGAGGUAUCAAAAGUUAGCAGAUUGGGAUUGUUUAGGGUUUCUGUAAUAUCGAGAGAUCUAUCCAUUGGAAUAAGGUGACUUUUGGCAUGGUAAGUCUAGGACUUCUAGGGGGUGGUUAAGAUACAUCAGUGUGGAUUUACGACAUUUUCUUACAAUCUGUAAGUUAGAUUGGAUUGAAACUUCUUAAAUAUUUAGAUGGCUUGCAAAGACACUAGUAGUAGAAGUUUACAACAAUUGGACGAUUAGAUUGAGAAUUACAGCUUACUGAAGCUCGCUCUCUAGGGUUAGGAUUUAAAAACAUAAAAAUAAAAAUAAAAAUAAAAUAAAUAAAAUGAAUUAAAAUAAAAUAAAAUAAAUAAAAUAAAACUAAUAAAUAACAAAAGACUUGUACUUAUAAUAUCUUGAAGUUAUUAAAAAUAGUAUUUCUAAGUAUUUUGUAUUGAGAUUAAGCUUUUACAUUGAAAUCCAAAAUAGUUGUAUUUAGAUGGUUGAAACCCACUAGCCUACAUGGAUACUUACAAAACAUUAUUUUAUCUUCCACAAGCAAACGCCCGGUGCAUUCUCAAGCAAGAUAGCAUGUUAUAUGACAACGCCUCUGCCCUUCUUCUCUUGAAAUUGUUUCACCAUAUGAGCUCAUUUCGGAUCGUGUUCGAAAUGUAUCUCACUUACGAGUAUUUGAUUGCCAUGCUUGGAUUCCAGUACUAGAACCUCAAUGACGUACCAUUGGAGCUCAUUGACAAGAAGGUAUAUAUGUUGGUUUUGAUUCACCAAGCAUUAUUCGUAUUGUUGAUCCAUCAACUGACACAUUAUUAUGUGCAUGUUUAUAAAAUUGCCGUUUUGAAGAAAAUGUAUUCCCAUCUCUUCAAGGAGGAGUAUCCAAUCAACAAAGAAAUAAAGUACUCAUAUUUGAAGCACCAGAAACAUUUACAAUGAAUCCCGAUCCUAGGACAUCUUUGAUAGAAAUUGAAGUUGUUAAGAUUUUGCAUCUAAAACGGAUCGCACAUGAAACACCUCAUGGCUUCAAUGAUGCACCUAGAAUUAUAAGAGUUCCUAUUAGUGAGGCUCAUAAUGCACCUACUCAGAUUGCAGUGCCAUUGACUACAAUACCUCAUGUUAUAACAACAACAACUAAAAGAAUUCGUAGACUAGAUAAGCAACCAUGUAAGAAAAAAGCUAUAAAAUUGACUAAUCCUGGUAUUAUUUCUCAAGAAAUUAUCACUCAUCUUGUGGGACUACCAAUUCAUGAUGAUAUAUCCAUACAUAAUGUACCUUCAAUUCUUAUGAAAAACAAUCUUGGAAUUGGAAGGAAUAAGAACAAGUUGAGUAAAGAAUUAUCUAUUUUGUAUUGUGCUAUAGAUGAUAUUUGGGACAGAUCAUCUAUUAUGGUACAUGAAUCAUUUGCAUAUAUGAUUAUAAAAGCCCUUUCUUGUGAGGAAGAUAAUCUUGAACCUCAAACCAUCAAGGAAGCAAUUUGUUGCUCUGAUUGGUCAAAAUAGAAAACUGCUAUUGAGGAAGAGUAUGCCUCUUUGCGUCAGAGGAAAGUCUUUGGUCCAAUUGUAGGCACUCUUACAUCUUGCUCUGUGGGAUAUAAGAUGGUAUUAAUAUGCAAGCGAGAUGCUUAAGGCCAAAUAAUCCACUAUAAAGCUCAUCUUAUUGCUCAAGGAUUUACUCAACAAUUUGGCAUUGAUUAUGAAUCUACAUAUUCUCCAAUCAUGGAUACAAUUACAUUAUGAUAUAUUAUUGGAAUGACAGUUUAUGCCACCCUUGAGAUGCAUCUGAUGGAUGUAGUAACUGCAUAUCUAUAUGGUUCUCUUGAUACAAAUAUUUAUAUGAAAGUUCUAUCUGGCUUAGAAACAUGAACUCCAAAUCGACCCGCUCUAGUAUAAUAUUGUAGUAUUAAAUUAUGUAAGGCCUUCUAUGGUUUAAAACAAUCGGGAUGUAUGUGGUACCAACGUCUUUAAGAUUAUUUAAUUACAAAUAAAAUUAUAAGUGAUCCAUUAAUCCCUUGUUUGUUUAUCAAACAAGAUAAAACUGGUUUUGUGAUCAUUGCUGUAUAUGUUGAUGAUUUUAACCUAGUGGGUACUACAUCUACAUGUGUUACAACUACUAACCUACUUAUACAUAAAUUUGAGAUGAAAAUGCUAGGAAAAAUAACUUUCUACAUUGGUCUUCAAAUUAUGCAUCUAACAGAUGGUAGCAUUUUUCUCUACCAACUAAUGUAUAUUAGACAAAUCUUGGGAAGAUUCAAUAUGAUUGAUGCUUAUUCAUUGUCCACACCAAUGGUUGGACGUGAUCGUGAUGGUCAUGAUCUAUACCGUCCAUGCAAGGAGGAGGAGGAAAUAUUAAGAGAUCAAUAUCCAUACCUCGCAGUGGUCGGAGCACUUUUGUAUUUAGGUAUAUCUACAACACCAGAUAUUACAUUUGUAGUUAGUGUUCUUGCAAGACAUAGUACACGUUCAAUACUACGACAUUGAAAUGGCAUCAAAUAUUUAUUACAUUAUUUAAAAGGUACUGAAGACUUGAGAUUAUACUACACAGUGUCCGUAGAUCCAAAAUUGGUUGAAUAUUGUGAUGCAGGAUAUAAAUGUGUUACUGUAACAGCUAAAUCUCAAAUAGGAUAUGUAUUUUUAAGACAUGGAGCUGCAAUAUCAUGGAAAUCAGUGAAACAAAGAAUAACUGCAACUUCAUCCAACCAUGCAGAAAUUAUUGCCUUACAUGAAGCAUCUCGAGAAUGUAUUUGGUUGCAAACAAUUGAUAAAUUCAUUCAAACAACCUGUGGAUUUUCAUAUGAUGAUUCUCCAACUAUCUUGCAUGAAGAUAAUAGUGCUUGUAUUGCACAAAUGUAAGUUGGUUUCAUUAAAGGCGACAGGACAAAGCAUAUUCAUCCAAAAUAUUUUAGUUAUAUCUAUGACUUGAUUACUGAUCAAGUACUUAUAAUUAAGAAAAUUGAAUCUACAAAUAACCUUGCUGAUCUCUUCACCAAAGCUCUCCUAUUGUGCAACCAUCGUCGACUUACUUAUGGCAUUGGUAUGCAGUGACUUGCUUUUCUGAAAAAAGAAAGUUAAUGAGUCUUUUAAAUAAUUAAAAAAAAUGAUGUUGUACUCUUUUUCUUUAAUCUAUGGUUUUGUCCUUAAAUACAAUAAGAUUUUCCUAGAUAAGGUUUUAAUGAAGCAACAAUUGUUGAUCAUACAAGAUAACAGAAAAGUAUAGAUCAUAAUUCUAUAUAAAUUUUAUAUUAUGUAAAUAUUAUAAUGAGCAAGGAGGAGUGUCGAAAUCAUUAAAUGUAGUCGGCGCUCUCCAUAAUAUUUACUGUAGACUACAGUAAAUACCAUAGCUACAGUAUUUAGAGUCUAGUGGAGAAGUAUUGUUUAUCCUCUCACCUUUUCUCUUCUUGUAUACGAGACACAACCAGAUCAACAGAAUUAUUAUGUGUGAAGCUCUCUCUCCUUAGAAACCCUCUUGUGUGUAUCACUUACUACUACUCUUGUGUGUGUAUUACUUACUAUUACUCUUGUGUCUUUCUAAACAUUCUCAACACAUAGCAAGCCUUAUAGUUCUUUAAAAACUUCGACAUAGUUGUCUUUUAAGUUAGUAUAUAGAAAAGUAAAUAUAAAUCUAUGAUUAGUCUUAUCAACAUUUUUUUGUGUUUCAAUUUUAAUUCAAUGCUCUCUAAAUGACUAAUACUUAACAAUAGCCAUUGUAAUAUUUCCUUAUUAACAAUAUUUUAGAAAUUUUAUGAUAUUUUUCUAUCAAAAAAAAUAUAACCAUUAUUAGCAUAAUGUGCAAUUUUUUUUAUUGAACUGCUUUCUAAUAAGUAAAAAAUUAAAAUAAAUUAAUAUACAAUAUUAUGCGUUGGUUAGUGGAUCAUUAUAACAAAAUAUUUUAAAAUAUUCUUGAUGUCUAUAUCUAUGUAACAUCACAAGUCUAUGUCUUCAAAAUUAGUUGUAUUUUCUUUUCAUGAGUAAAUAUUUUAAUCAAUAAUUAUUUUAAUUAAUGACUAUCUAAUAUUAAAUAUUAAAUUCUUUAAAGACAUUCUUAAAAAGCCUGUGCAACAAUGUAGGUUUUGGAUAAAAAAGAAUUAAACUUUUUUAUUUUGCAAUAAGAUCAAAUUACAAAAUCUAUUUCUUAGAGAUGAAAGGGUCUCCUAAAUUUUGUCUCCCGAAAUUAAGGACACAAUCUUCUUGGCUGCUAAGUUUAGUUGAUUUUACAAAUAUAAAACAAUUUCCUAAGAGUUUUUGUAGUUACGACAAAUCGCUCACUUUUGUUUGUAGCCCAUGGGAUCUUUCUUCCAAUGCUGAUAAUGGUGUAUAACUACUGAUGAAAUAGGCAAUGAAAAAGAGUUUUACUGGGGAUUGGAUUUCCAUCCUAACUGGUUGUAAAUAAAGGACAAUUUCACGAGUAGUCUUAUGAAUGACUGCAUCCAUAAAGCUCUUGCAGCAUCUGUCAAACAUUGCAACUGGAGGAAGACUCGUAUAAAGAAUAACCAGGAAUUCCUCGAGAAUCAACUUGAAACGCUUCGAAUUCAUGCACCAGUGUUUCACGGUACCAAGAGAUUUGCAACAUUGGUCUGAUGAUACAUUCACUCCGUACCAGAUAGUGUUCAAUUCUGAUGAAGAGCUCUUCCAUUGUAUUUACUAUAAAGAGUAAGAAACGCUGAUGUGGGUCCACAUACAUUACAAACUCCAUGUGGAGGUCAUGUGACCCAAUCAAAUUGGCAGGCGACCAGCAUGUCGAUCACUCUUUGGUAAUAUGGGAAAUCAUGUGCAUUACUCUAAUAAAGUUUUCUCCUUUAAUCCUUAGUGGUUGGAGUCAUGACUAAGAUCAAUGCUAGUAAGCCCAAACUGUUUCCUCGCCUUGUAGUCAGCCCAACCCGAGUAAGUCACGAGCUCGAACGUAUAGAAAUAGUCUCCAAUGUCGAUGACGAUGCAGCCAAACAUUCCACGAAGUUGAAAUACGCAUACUUCAUAUCAAAUUGCAUGUCAUACCCUACACAUCCAUGAUUUGGGCCAUCAAUGCAGAUUAAGAACAAUCAAUAACCAUUAGACACAUGCAGUGGCAACAUCAACCUUUCAAGCGACAGCAAAGCUUGACACUUUUAAUAAAUCAUUUAUAUGAUAAAAUCUUUGGCAGAGAGCACCGAACUUACAAUAAUUAAUGGCGACGGUGCGCCCCUCUGAAUCCGGUGACUGGCGUACAUGAUGAAACCACAAACUCGGCCUACAGGCACAUUGAUAAAUCAAUGCCAGGAAAUACGAUUGGAACUUAAAACAAGAAACCAACAAGUUGUGAAGCAAGAUUGAGCUAGAGCACAUUGAGAUUAAGAGACGUUGUAUAGAGUUUGGGGUUUGAGGACUGUGGGAUACAUGGUGAGGCACAGGUUGUAGACUUCUACUUACAGAUAAAGUAGUUCUCCUGCUCUGACUGUACACUCAAAUGCCAGUGGGCCUCCGAAAUAACGCGGAUGCUGGGACUCGGCUGUUUGUCGCUCAGCAUUCUUUGGAAAGGGAUCUACACUGGACCACGGCACCCAGGCGGUUGGACUAUCGCGUUUAAGCACCAAGCUCCCACUGUCCUGCAGAAAUAAAGAAGCUGCAGACAGAAACUCAUCAUUCCAUGUAGCCAAGGGGAAUCUUCUUUCACGACAAAUAGAUGCGAGUACUGUAAUCGUAGAACGCUAAAGGAUUGGUUUAUCAAAUUAUGGGAGUGAAGUUCACAAAAGCAGCUAAGGGAUAGUAGAUGUAAGUUUCAGAAGCAAUAAAAAUUGCCUUAUACAAAAGAAUUGCAAUGUGAAGUUCAUCUUGUAACCAUCAACUACAGGUUACGAGCACAUCAACCUAAAAAUGCAGUAAAACAAAUGCAGACUGGAAUGACGUUCUCUUAUCGAAGUAGCAUAAAAGGUCCAAAUGCUGAUACCAAUUCACAAUGUUUAUUCAAGCAUCCAUAAGCCCUUGUGUUUGAGAACCGGGGGCAAUUUAAUUGAAUUAUCAAACUGAGGAAGCAACCAGAAAAGAGACGCUGUACACUCAAGCAAAUUGAUUACAAUAAAUUGAGCACAGCUUGCGCAUGAAAAUGCAAAACUACCUUGCAAUUCGGGACCAGAAAGAGGGAGAGAGAGAAAGAGAGAGAGAGAGAGAGAGAGAGAGAGAGAGAGCAAGAAAACUGACCGUUCGUUCAUAAUGAGCAGCGGGGUACUUCUUCACAUACAUCCGAUGCACAUCUGUUGGGGGAAGUAAGGUGAAAUGCUUCUCCCCAGAGACUACAGCAUAAAGAUUCUCAUAGUGGUCCUUAUGGAAUGAUGUCACCGACUCUUGAGUACCAAUCCACAAAUUCACCGCCUCGGGCUUGCAGCCCAAAGCCUCGCUUGCCCAUGCGAUAUCGCUGUCUACAUCUUCAGAAAGCGCAGAAAACUCCAACGGGAAGCAAUUGUUCUGCUGCUGUAGAUAUGCCACACUACGGUCUUCACAACUCGAACUCAGAACACACUCCAGCGCCGUGGGGAAGGGCAGUACCUCCACAAGUGAACUUGCGAAGACUAUUUCAUUGGCAGGUCCUUCUCCUUCCAAAUCACCUCCAUCGCUGUGGCUAGACUUUGACCCCACGUCUGCAGACUGAGGAGCCUGCACAAGGGCAUCGGCUCGCCCGUCGGGGGUGAAAUGGCAAGAGACGCUACGGUGGGCAAGUUGGGAUUGCAAGUAGGAGUUGGACCAGAGGCGAAGGGCGGGCCAAUGUGCAAUGGCGUUGGUGAUGAUGCAGGGACGAUUGGGCAUGACGAAGUCGCGCAGGAACUGCACAGGAUCGGGAGGGCCAUCGAUCCUGACAACCUCGGGCGUGCAACCCAGGGACAGCUCUCGCACCUCGCGCGACAGCAGAUCCAGCAACUCUCCCGCUGCAGCGACAGCCAUGAAUCUACUUCCCCUCUUCUAAACCCUAAAUCUAUCCAGGUUCAAAUUCUUCACACUCAUUUGCUCGCAACGGAAAACCCAAUUCGCGUUCAGAUUCGUCACGACAACGCCUUCUUCGUUUUUUCUUCUCGAGGACCUUCCACUGUCGGACACUAAAACCCCCGCAACCCCGACAACUCUCUGCAAGCCCCGAAGCACAGUCACAUCCAUCGCCGACACACUUCACUAAGCCCUAAUUUCCACCACACACACACACAAUGGAGGAAAAAAAUUGAAAAUUAAAUAAGCAGGGAAUUGGAACUAAUACCCUUUUCAAAUGUCAGUUGAUGUUUCUCGAUGAAUCAUUCUCUCUAUACAUAUAGGUAUAUAUCAAAAUGUGGAAUGUUUUCAAUCAAGUAAAAUCUAUUUGUAUAUAUAUAUAUAUACACGUUUUUUUUCUUCCUAUAAGAGAAAGCUUUUUGAAUGAAUGAACAAUUUAGUGUUUUCAAAGCAUGGACAAAAAUAUGUGAGAUUCUUCAUAGUCUUGCAUUUGAUACAUUGAUACUUGAGAUGACAAUUAAAUAUUGAGAAUCCAUAUACUGUGGUCUUUUAGUUAAUAAAAAGUAAAAGAAAAAUAGCUUAAAUAAAAAUUAAAUUAUGAGAAUCCAUAUAAUGUGGUCUAGAAUACCGUUAUCUAAGUGUGACCAAUUAAGUUGUAUCUUACAUGUUGCUCCUAAACGACGGCCUCUAAUUCUUAAGUGCCCUUUUUGUCUUGUACAAUGAACAAUUUAUAUUUUUCAAUCCACAUGCAAUCACCACCAGUACAGUCACUACGAUCUCAUUUCCUCCUCACCCUACUCUCACAAGCAUUUGUAUUAUAGAACAAACUACUGUUUAAAAUCAGCUCCAAAAAUCCUAGUGGUCCACCUACAACAACCUUGGACAAAAACCUUAACAUCAUUCACCUCCUCUUAUCCCUCUACAAUACAACAAAAAUAAUGCAUAAGGAAACACUAAAUUCUAACCAGCCCAUGUGGAUUGGAAAAUGAAACUUUUCUCAUGUCUUUAUCCAAACUCAAUUCCCACUUGCUAGAGUUCACAUGGGGCUGACUCAAAUCAGAAUUUCCUGUUGAAAGUCUUCAUAAAGGACCACUUAGGGCUUUGUUGGUGAUUCAUCCAUAUCAGAACAUUUAGUCUCAACAAAUGAACUAAUGACAAACUUUCCACAAUAUAUGUACUGCACUUCGGUACACUUAUAAACACAGUUGUUAUUCUUGUUAUUAGAACUACUGUGUAGUAGUUUGAUGCGUUGCUUGUAUGUAUGUAUGUAUGUAUGUGUGCUCAUAGUGUUGUGCACGAUCCUGAUAGCAAAGUUACAGAGUCACUGUUCACUAAGUGGUUUUACGUCAAUAUUUCAACAUGGUAUCAGAGCGGGACUGAAUUCCUCACUUCGCCUUCUAUCGAACUUGCUUAGUUCUCAUUCCAUAUAAAACAUCCAAAGUAAUUAUAUAUUGGCAAAAGAUAUUCUCGUUCCAGAAGAAAAUCAAGCUUGCAUGAUCAUCCAAUUUUCACUUGUGUAAAUACUGAGAACACAGACACGUAUCCACAUUGUUCAAUACAGAACCAAGGAACAAGAACCUAGCCAAUACAGACUUAGAUUACCGAUGAGGAGAACAGCAGAAAGAGCUGUUUAAAUACAGUUACAUUCGUGGGUUCCCUGAGAUGAGAACUGGAUUAUAUACCUAGGGGUGUUCAUCCAACACCCUCCUUCACCCCGUGUGUUCUAUGUUCAAGGCAGCUAUUAUCACAAAAAAAAAAAAAAAAAAAAAAAAAAAAAACUGAACUAGAAAUAAAAAAAAAGAUGAGGUGUUCUUAGUUGAAGAAGAAGUUCUCGGCAUCUUGUAGCAUCCUGAAUCCUCUGUAUUUUGCUCCAAGAAUCAAUAAGGAUGUCUAGUAGAGGAUCAGAGAUCGUGGAACAACACUCUUGCUACUUACUAUGUUGAGUUCGUUUCUGAACUUCUCGAACAGGGAGCACCCUAGUGGCUUUGUGAAAAUAUCCACUAGUUGCUCAAGAGAAGGAAUAUAAUGGAUUUCUAAUUCUCCUUUGAUCAUUUCUUGAGUGAAGUGAUAGUGGGCAGACACAUCACGUGUUUGGGGAUUUGUCCCAAGAUUGACUGUCAUCCGAAUGUUGCCAAUGUUAUUGCAAAAAAUACAAAUUGAGAGUUCGAUUUUGAAGUGUAAAUCCUGAAAUAACAUUUGCAACCAGGAUGCUAUUUUGGAUGCUUUUGUAAGGGCUCGGUACUCUGCUUCAGAGGAUGACAAAGCUACGGUAGGCUGCUUCUUUGAAUGCCAUGUGAUUGGUGACUUUCCUAAUCUGAAAAUGAAGCUUGUGGUUGACCUAGCAUCUUGUGCAUCUCCCGCCUAGUCGGAGUCGAUGUAGCCUUAUAGUGUAUUACUCUUUGAUUUGUGGAGAUGACUCCAAAGUCCUCGGUGCCUUUGAUGUACCUAAGAAUCCACUUUGUUGCUAGAAGAUGUGGUUGUUGAGGUUUCUGCAUGAAUCUGCUACAUACUCCUAUUGAAUAUUUAAAUCUAGACUAGCCAUUGUGAAAUGAAGAAGCGAUCCUAUCAGCCCUUGAUAGAUUGUUGGAUUUCAAUCUUCUUCCAUAUUCAUUACUAUUUUGUAGCAUUCAUCCACAGUCAUUACUAGUUUGUAGUGUUCAUCCAUAGGAGUAGCUGUUGAUUUACACUAUGCUACAUCAUAUGUUAUGAGAAUUGGCUUAGCAUAACUCCUUUGAGUUGGGAAAAUUCCACUGUGAACUUGAAUACACUCUACCUUCAAAUAAAUCAUGAUAUCACCUCCAAAGAGGUUAGUCAUGGGAAACUUAGAGUAUAAUCUUACCUUAAGACCUGUUAUCUCAGAGCAUAAGUUGCUUACCAUCAGUAGAUCAUUGAUAAAAAGUGUUAUAAGAGUGAUAUUUUUAUAGUCGGCUUUGUUAUAAAGAUUAUGUUUGCCCAUGCUUGAUUUAAAACCAAUGGUUUUGAGCAACUUGUCAAUUUCUUCGUACUAGGACCUGGGAGCUUGUCUUAAUCAAUAGAGUGCUUUUUUAAGCCUAUAAACUAAAUGUUCUCUUGCUGGAAUUUAAAAACCUUCUGGUUGCAUAAUAUAGACUUCUUCUUUGUAUAGACCAUAGAAGAAUGUAGUAAUGAUGUCCAUGGGUGACUUGGUUCAGCUAUUUUGGGAUGCUAUAGUAAGCAAUGAUCUAAUGGUUUUCCAUGCAACUAUUGGUGUCAAUGUUUCGUCUAUAUCCACUCCAUCUUGUUGUUAAAAAUUGAGCACAACAAGCCUUGAUUUUUACUUUUGAAGAUCACCAUCAAUGAUUGAUUUUUGCUUUGAAGAUCCAUUGUGUAGAGGUGGUAGUUUUACCUAAAGGAAGCUUGAUAAGAUACCAAACUUUGUUUUUAAUAAUGGAAUUGUAUUCUUCUUUGAUGGAUUCUCUCCAAAGAAGACAAUUCCAUGAUUUGGUAAAAGAGUUUGAUUCCAUGUUUAUUGAUUCUACCUUUGUAUAGUGAUCCUUGAGCCAACUAAGAAAACGAGUGGUGUAGCUUGAUCUAGUGGUUUUUUGCAUUGUCCAUUUUAGAUCUAGUUUUUUGAUGUCUAUUGGCCAUGAGUGAUCAAGAUUGUCUCUCUGUGAAAGUGAUUUUGUUUCAACAUUUGGACAUUGUGGGGAUGAAUAGUUGUCUUUUGUUUGUAAGUUUAUAGAUUCUUUGGUUCAAGUGGUCGUCAAGUUUUCAAAUGGAGAUUGAUCUAGCUCUUGUUCAAUAGGUGAUAUCAAAGAAUUUGGUAGUGUUGUCAAAAAUUGUCACAUAUGACCUCUGAACUGAUUGACAUAAUUUGAUAAAAGCGGCAAUUGUAGGAAUCUAAUAAAAGAGCUUUGGUUUGUAGCUACCAAUAGACACGAGAGCUGCUUCUAAACUACUCUUUCUAUUGAGAAUAAAGAUGUGAUACUUGACAUAUAGAUAGAUCCAACAGAUGAUAUUGAAGACUUCACAUCUGAAUUGAAGACAGACAAGAAAUCUAAAUCUCUUUCUUCUAUUUUAGUUGUUGGAAGGUAGAAAUUAAAGCUUAUAAUAGAUUAUGAAAGUUUAGUAUGAUAAAACCUUGUUUCAUCAAAGAUAACAUCUUUUGACACAAUGAUCUUGUUGGUCAAAGGUAAGUAAAUUAUGUAGGCUUUAGAACAAUCAUCAUAGCCUAUUAGAUAGCUUGUAAUAGAUUGAGGUUCUCAUUUGUACCUAAUGUGAGUACCAAUGUGCACAUGUGAAAGAGCUUUGAUUCUCUUGAAGUGAUUUAAAGAAGGUUGUUUGCUAGAAAAUCUUUCUUCUAGAGAAAAGAAUGAAUCAUUUAUCUUAGUUGGGAUUCAAUUGAGAAAAUAAAUGAUUGUUUUAACAACUUCUGAGCAAAGUUGAAUUGAAAGAUAUCUUGACACUAGUAUAGUUUUGAUUCUUUCUAGAAUCAUUUGAUUUUGUAUUUUGACAAUAGUGUUUUGGUAUAGAGUAUGGUCUUGUAUUAGUCCUUGCAGAAUCCCAUGAAAUCACAAAUAAUCUAAAAAUGUUGUAGAAAAAAACUUCUUAUUCCUAUUUGUUCACAACAAUUUGAUGUAAUGUUGUCAUGUGGUAAUACAAUUAUAUAGUAAAAAAUAAAAUAUAGAUAUUAUUAUAGAAGAACCUAUUAAAAAGAUGUAGUAGAAAAAUGAGAAUAAAUGAUAGAAAGGUAGUAAAAAAUUUAGUCUUAAUAUUGCCUUUUAUAGAAGAGACUUCUAUUUACUUUGCAAAAGCAAUAAUGAGCCAAAUCAAAAUAAAUGAGAUAAGAAAUUGAUAUAGGCAUAUUUAGGAAAGAAUUAAAAAUAAGUUAAAGUAAAAAUGGCCUAAAAUUAUUAAAAAUUGAUACCUAGAGAGGACUCGUUGUCAACUUAGGUUGAAAUCAGAUCCCGAGGUACAAAACUACACUGAUAUGGUGACUUUGGGGUUCUUUUGAAGAUUAAAGAGUAAGAUUUGAGAGAAGACUUGAAGAGAGAUUUUUAAGCAUUGGUUUUAUAUCAUUUGAACCAAUAUUGAGAUUUUGAUGGAUUUUCAAAAUUAAUAAUAUUCUUGAUGGAUUUAGGUUUUGAAAAAUAAAAAUAUAUUUAUAAAUUUAAAGGUUUCUUGAGUUUUGUGACAUGUGUAUGGGUAGAAUUCAUGUAGUUUGUUGGUGUAAUUAUUGUAAAUGUGUAUGCAAAAUUUGAUAUCAAUUGAAUGGUUAGAUUGAAGUAUAUGAGGAUUUUUAUGGAUUGAUGUCUCAUAAAUUGGAGUUUGAGGGCCAAUAAGUGUUUCUAAGAUCUUCAAUAAUUUGUCAAUUGGAUUAGAAUGAAAAUUAUUCAUAUGGAUAAUAGAUUUAAUUUUUAAUAUUUAUAUAAAAUUUGAAAAAAAAAAAAUGGUUUAAAAAGGAGAUAUUGGUGCUAGAAGGUUAGCAUUAAGGUUGGAAUAGAAGUCCGUCCAACAUCCAAUUGGCUUAUCUUUCAUUUCUCUCAAUUAGUAAGUGUAAUCAAUUUUAUUUUUCUUGUGCUUGUUUCUAACUAAGUUAUUAAAAAGUGUACAAAAUUUGAGUUGAUAUUAAUUAUUUCAUCAUUAAUUAUUGAGGUUUUAAUUUGCUAUAGGGUUUAUUGAGAGCUUGCUUAAGAUUUAGAAUUUGAUUAAGAUUUGCUUAAGAUUUGGUUUAGGAUUUAUCUAAGGUUUAGGGUUUCAUUAGAAUUUCAUUAGGAUUUGACCUAAGAUUUGGUUACAAUUCAAUUAGGAUUUCAAUUAGGGUUUAAUCUAGGAUUUGGUUAAGAUUCAAUUAAGAUUUCAAUUAGGAUUUGAUCUAGAAUUUGAUUAAGAUUCAUUAAGAUUUUAGUUAGGAUUAAAUUAGGAUUUAAUUAGAAUUUAUUUAAUAUUUUUAUCUUUAUUAUUUCUUUAGGAUUCUUUGUUGUUUCUUUAAAAAAAAUUAUUUUAGAUUAGUCAAAAUUUGAUUAGGAUUAUUAAGGUUUAUUUAAAGUAUAUUUAAGAUUUUAUUAGACUUGAUAGGAUUGUUGUUGCAUUUCUACUUACCUUCCACAACUAGGUGUUUAAUGCAUUUUCAAGCAAGAACACAUGUACUACAACAUUGUCUAAUUUUUUUUUUCAGCCAUAUUUUUAAAUUCAAAUUCUUUUUGAAGAACUUGGCUCUUUUGCUGCAAAAAAUAUAUCCACACUUUUCUACUACAAUUGUCAAUCAAAAGUAAAAUAUAUCUAUUUCUUCCUAUCAAUAGAACUAAGAGAGGGCCACAAAUAUCAGCAUGAAUCAACUCCAAAAUCUGAAUACUUCUUGUAUGUGAUUUUUUGGGAAUGGAUUCUCUUGUUUGUUUUACUAUAGUAUAGUAUUAGUAGACUACACGUUUUAUUAUGAAUUUUGGUAUCCCCUAAUGACAACCUUCUAUUGCCAUAUUGAUCAAUGUUUGUAAACUUACAUGACUAAGUGUACAAUGCCACAAAUAAAAGAGCCUUGAGUCUAAAUCUAAUAAAAUCUGUAUUUCAAAAUGAACUAAAAUAUCAUGAGUUUCUAGUGCCAAAAUUAUUGCCACCACCACCUCCUUCUAAAGAUGAGGAAGCCCAAGAAGAGAAACUUGAAUACCUUAUAUACAUCCUCUCAAUGUCAAUUAAACCAAGUCUACAUGCUAUGCCUAUUGAGUUUUCAGAACCAAAACGGUUAUGGGACUUUUUGAAAACUUCUUUUAAAAAGGAAACUUGAUCUAAAAAGCAGUCAUCGGAUUCAGAUGACUGUGCCAUUGGCACCGCAUUUGCCGCGGACGAAGGCAAUGACGCACUAUUUGAAGCUGCCAUCUCAUCCUUGGAUAUUAACAAAUCCAAUUCUGGGUGGUAUCUCGACUGUAAGGCCACUUACCAUAACGGAAAUCCGGAUUACUUUGAUAGUUUAGAGGUCUUAAGAGGCAACAUGAAAACUACAAGCGGCCAUAAUCAUCUGAUUACAGGCCGAGAUAUUGUUCAGUUCAAUCUUCCAUUUAGUGAAAUAAGGAAAUAUUCGAUAUUUUAUACGUUCUAGGCCUGACAAAAAAUUUGCUCUCCAUCAUAUCCUUUCCUAAUAAUAGGAUAGUUGCAUAUUUCAAUAAUCAGAAAACGCUCUCUAUAUAACAUGGGACACAGCAGACUGGUUGCGGAAAAAGUCCAAAAUCACAAAAAUGGGUUGUAUAAACUCAUUUCAUGCCACUCAACCCUCGGCCAAUCUUAUGGAAUUGGAUCUUUACACCGUGCGCCAUUGGCACUGUAGGCUUGGACAUCCCAGUUCUUCUCGGCUACAUGACGUCACAAUUUGCAAUAUGGCAUCCGGGAUGCCAUAUAUCCCACUUCUCAACACCAUGUGCGGCCAUUGCCAAGCAGGAAAGCAAAUCCGAGAGCGUUUUCCAAAAUCCAACAACCAUCAAGCAAUCAAACCGCUUAAACUACUUCACAUAGAUUUGUGCGGUCCACUUCCGAUUUCAUCUUUAGGCAGAUCGAAUUACAUCUCAGUAAUUGUUGAUGAUUGUACCAGGUACACAUGAGUCUGUUUCCUCCGAUACAAAUCACAAACGUUUAAAAAGUUCAAACAAUUCAAAUCCAUGAUCAAACUCCAGCUAAACUAACAGAUUCGAACAAUAUGAAGUGACCACGGGGGUGAGUAUCUCUUCCAUGAAUUCACUCACCUCUACUACAGUAUUGGGAAUCAACGGCAGCUAACAAAUGCAGCGACUCCCAAACAAAACGGCAUUGUGGAAAGGACAAAUUGAAAACUAUUGAAGAUGGCACAAAGCAUGAUCAUACAAGCCUGAAUGCCGAACAACUUAUGGUCCGAGGCAAUCAAAACAAUCGUCUUCCUACUUAACCGGCUACCAACAAAAGCGCUUAACCAGGUAAUUCUCUUCCAAAAAAAAAUUGACAAAUCGCCAGACCUUUCUUUCUUGCAAAUCUUUGGUUCAAAUAUUUAUGUUUGAGUAGAGCGGGAUCACCGAAACAAAUUGGAGCCAAAAACAAAAACCAACGUCUUUGUUGGAUAUUACGACGAGACUAAGGGCUUCCGGAUAUAAAUGUGAGAGGAUCACAAGCUUAUUAUAUCUCGAAACGUUUGGUUUGACAAAAACAACAUACUGAUCCGCAUACCAUCAGCUUACUAACAAUUACAUUGUGCUUUGGACUCGGUGGCCAUAACUCAACCACUGAUCAAUGACGCAGCAGACCGCUCAAAACCAACCUGUAGUCUUGCACCUCCACCUAUAUCUAUAAUUUACGAACAAAAAAAUUUCAACUCAACAACAAAACUUGGUGCUCUCAACUAUAGCCGACGACCAUGCUAAACCUCAUAGAAUUUCUGCUCCAAACAAGAAGACACAACACCCUCUGUAUCUUCUUCUGGAGAAGACAUCCUCUUCGACCGAGGCACCUCAAAACUCUCGCUCUUCAUUGAAAUAUUCAACCACAGAAAGGAUUCAUCCAAAAGUCAAGCUCAGAAUUGAUGCAACGUCGCCAAAAACAACUACAAGCUCAGAAGCAGCAUCUGCGCUUGAAGCUCAAAACAAAACAAAUUAGUUAAACACAUCAAGCCUUCACUUCUAUCCAACUAAAUCUCACAACAUAAAAAAAAAAUAAUCGACUUACUAUUAGACUGGAUCAAGAACCCACCAGAGACAUUCUCCCCACAUCAUGAAAUGUCACCUUUAUAAUUCCUUCGAUCUCGAACCCAGAUCCUCACCAUACCUUGAGGCAACAAAAUACACACCACUAGGAACUUCAAUUAUUAGAGACUCCAAGAGCAAGGAAAUGUUGGAAGAUUACAUGAAAGACCACUUAGAGCUUUGUUGUUAAUUUAUCCAUCCCAGAACAUUUAGGCUCUACAAACAAACAAAUGAUGAAUUAUCCACAGUAUAUGUACCGCACUUUGGUGCAUUGAUAAAUACAACUGUUAUUCUUGUUAUUAGAACUACGGGUUAAGCUUGAUACAUUGCUUGUAUGUAUGUAUGUGUGUUCAUAGUGUUAUGCACAAUCCUAAUAUCAGAGUUACAGAGUCACUGUUCACUAAGUGGUUUUAUGUCAAUAUUCCAACAUUUUCCUUGUUCCAUUUGUCACGCAUCAAGUCCAUGUCAGCAUCCACACCACCGUAAUUAAUCAAUAUGAAACGCCAUACUUGGAUCACACUUUGGUCGAACUCGUGUUGCUACAACCGAAGAGAUUAGGCUCCAAAGGACAAGGUAUAUUUGCAUUGAUGAAGCUUCAUAGGACUACGCGGCACGGCUUGAGGAGAAGAAUCAUCUACCCCUGCUCGGACAAUCGACUGAAUCAUAUAUUCCUUUCCAUCUUGAUUGUCAUGGCAGUUGAUGCUUGGCCCUGAUUUAGAGUGCAUGUAACGCAUCCUGCAUCCUACAAAAGUUUGGUACAGGACUUGCACCAUGUCGUAGCAUCGGUCAAAGUUUAAAUUUUGUAGCAAAGUUGAUUUGUUACUGACACUGCGGUUUCGACAAAGGGUGUGACCGAGGUGAAAGAAAGAGAGAAAGCACGAAGCACGUGAACUUUUCUCAGGGAUUCUACAUAUAAUCUCUCAACAACAGUGAGAGGCAACAUUCUGCGACCACGUGGUAUAGACAAUUUCCUCCUUACCUUCUUUCCAAGUUGCACAACUUGCUCUUCUUAUGUUGCUCUAUCAUUAUAUAUCAAAGUUAAGAGUUGAAAAGGUUGGUGUUAGUGGCAAUGGAAUUUCGUGAUAGUCAGUUGUAAUGGCAUUGAGCUACUGCUGAAAUUAAUUCUAGUCACUUGUGCAUAAAACUAUUUACACCAAUAUCAUAUUUUGGCUCUUCUUUGUAAUAAUAAAUUGUUUCUUUUUAAUCCUUUGCCUUAGCCCUCCCCCAGUUUUAUUUAAGACUCCCUUGCCAUUUGUUCUCUUUAGUCCUAAGUUUUGAUCUUAGCAGGAAGGUGCAAGUGUAGCUAAAAUUGCCCAAAUUCCAUUCAUGGAGGAAGAAGAAAAAUUACCAUGGUACCUUUUUGGACUUGGUCCACAAAGAAAGCAAACCACAACCCACUGAGGCUACAUUGGAAAAAAUAUUACUAAAAAGAUAUGCACAAAAUUACUUUGGUUUUUUAAUACCUGCUCUUUUUAAAUAAAUCAAAGUAGAUAGUGAAAUUAUAAAGGAAAAAAUUUAGUCUUUUUUUAUAUUACACCAUAUUAAGAAUUUCUACCCUUGAAACUCAUAAUUCUAACUUUGAUCCAAAAGUUGUAUAGAAUCCAAAGAUAGUUAAAGGAAUUAGAGCAAUAAAAACCUCUACGUGGAUAUUUUUAAAAAAUUUACAUAAUCAAUCCUUAAAAAUAAUCUCUUUAGUAGCUAUUUAUUAUAAAAAAAAAAGUAUUAAAAGAAUGCUAAGACGAAAAAAAUAUAUAUUUAAAUAUAUAUAUAUAUAUAUAUAUAUAUAUAUAUAUAUAUAUUGUUAAAAAUACAACAAAAAGAUAAAAUAAAAUAAAACUAUACAAUAAUUUAGUAGUAGCUUUGCAUAAAUUUAAUAAAAUAAUUAAUAUAUAAAAAUAAUAAUUAAUAAAUAAAAUAACUUGUAUAGAUUUUAUAGGUAAUAAUUUUUAUAUUUUAGAAAUAAAAAAACAAAAAUUACAUCAACAUAUAUAGCAUGUAUAAGAUUAGUGAUGAGUGACAGUUGGUAGUAAAAUUAUUUAUAGUUAUAAAAUUUAGUAUCUAAGCAAGUGAGUAUCAAAUUUAUAGCUUUUAAAUGACUUAUAUAAUUAUUUAAAAUUAAAAUUAAAAUUUUAUUUAUAAUUUUUUUCUUCUAUAAUUUUAAAAAAUAAAAAUAAAAAUGAUAGAAUAAUAAAAAAUAAUAAAAAAUAGAAUAAAUAUUAAUAUAAUUUAAAUUAAACUAAAAAUUUUAUGAAUAUUAUAUAAAGCUUUUAUCUUUAAAUUAUUUAAUUAAACAUAUAUAUAUAUAUAUAUAUAUAUAUAUAUAUAUGAGGUUUUAAAAGAUUUUUAUAGAAUGUAGUUUUUUUAAACAAGAUUAACAAAUAAAAAGUAAAAAAUUACUAAAGAAGUGAAUUUUAACUUUGCUGAAAAUUUUAUCAAUAGUAUUGAUUUUAGAUUUCUAGAUUUUAUUAAAAAUAUAAAAAUAUAAUAUUUAUUUUUGAAGCAUUUUAAAUUUAAAGGAUUUAAAUAAAACAAAAUAAAAUAUCAAUUAGUUAUGCUUACAAUAAAAAAAUUAUGCAAUGGUCUAGUAAACCAUGAAAUAUAAAUAAUUUAUCUAAAUAGAUAAUUCCAAUGUAUGAUAUAAAAUUUAAAUAAAAAAUAUCAAAAUAUAAAUGAAAUAAUAAAAAAUAAAAUAAUUUUUAAAUUUUUUGCCAUAAACCUCAUAUUGAUAAAAUAAAUUUUAAAAUUUAUUUAACUUUAAAAUAUGACAUACCACCAAAAAUUAUGAAAAAUGGCCAUUUCAAUUGAUUUAUUGUAAAUAUUAUAUAAAACUUAUAAGUACAAUUUCACAAUAUUAUAUAAUAUAUUGUCUAUUGUAAAAAAAAUUAAUGAGUUAAUUUAUGAUAAGUAAAUAAUAUAAGAAAAAUCUAAAAUCUAUUAAAUUAUGACUUUAUUACAAUUUUAGCUAUACAAUUUUUUGCAACAAAACAUCUACGAAUAAAAUAGAAUUUGGUUCUAUAAAAAUAAUUGAUAAAAUCAUGACUUAAAAGUGUAGAUAGUAUAGGUUUUUCUAAUUUGUUUAGUUUAUGUUCUUUUCUUUUUUAGUUCUUCUAAUAAACAUUAAAUUUAAUUUAAUUUAAAUAAUAUAUUUGUAAAAACUUUAAAUAAGCACACUUCAAAUAUAUUGAAAUCUCUUUUGAAUUAAAGUUUAAAAAUAACUGGUUCAAAUAAUAAAUAAUAAUUUAUAUAUAUAUAUAUAUAUAUAUAUAUAUAUAGUUUUUUUAAUAAGAUAUUUUUUGUAAUAUAAUAUUGUUCAACAAGAUAUUGAGUGACAAGAUUAUCUUAACAUGAAUUAACUUUUUAUCAUAUAUAUAUAUAUAUAUAUAUAUAUAUACACAAUCUUAUAGAUGCUAUUACAUUUUGAUCUCAAUUUUUGAGCAGUAUAAAAUAUUCUUCUUGUAUAAACUUUUUUUUUUCUUCUUUUCUUUUAUUUUGAAAUUUUCAAAAUAUUAUAUAUGUUUAGUAAUAUUUAUGUUUCUAAAAGUAUUUUUGAUAAUUAAUUAAAUUUAAACUAAUGUAAGAUUUUUUUUGUUACAUGUAAUAAUAAAAGAUUUAUAUAGUUAUCUAUUUUUUAUUGAUUAAAUUUAAUUUUAUAUAAUAAUCUUUAUAGUUUUAAAAAAACUAGAAACAGAUUAUCUUUUCUUCUUUUACAUCUAAUAAUGCAAAUAAUAGAACUACAAUUAAUUUUAAUUAGAAAUAAAACUUAAGUAUAUAUUUUAUUAAAAUAGUUAAACAAAAAAGUAUUGAAUUUUAAAGACUAAAUAUAAAGAAGAGGUUUGUAAAAAUAACAGUUAGAAUUCAAUAUAAUAAAUUCAUAACUAUUAUAUAUAUUUUUAUAGAUUAAAAUACAAAAUUCUAAACUCUAAGUGAAUAUAUAUAUAUAUAUAUAUAUAUAUAUAUAUAUAUAUAUAUAUAUAUUUAUAUAUAUAUAUAUAUAUAUAUAUAUAUAUAUUUAUAUAUAUAUAUAUAUAUAUAUAUUUAUAUAUAUAUAUAUUUUAACACAUCAAACAUAAUCAUAUUCAUUAAAAUAUAGGAAAUUUCUUCCAUAAAAAAAUACAAUAAUCACAUAAGAAUUUAAUAUAAAUUAUAAUAGAAAAAAAUCUAAAACCAAACAUUAUAUUUAUAACAUCUAUUUUUAUUUGAUAUGUUAAUAUAACAAAACAUAUACAAUCAUAAACACUUUUUUAAAAAAUAUUACUUAUUCUUUUACAAAUAAAAAAUAAAAGUUCAAAGCUAUAAGAAUAAAUAGAUUAAAAAAAGUAUAAAACUGGUUAUAUGAAUCUCUACUAGUCAAUUAAGUAAAAUUUAUUUGUACCAAUUAUUAGAAUAAAUAAUCAAGAUAUGUAUGGUAACUAUUAUAAGAUAUGACAACUUAUUAUUUAAUAAUUUAAAUCUAUUUUUUUAUGUAGUACCUAAAUCAAAACACUGUAUCACCAAGAAUAGCUAAAUCAUCAAUUUGAGUAAUAUUAUCUUAAGAUCUUACAUAUUUGUAGAAUUCUAUGCCAAAUUUUUAAGAAAUAAACCAAAUACAUUAUAAAAUUAAAAUCCCAAAAUAUGUUUAAUAACAAUCAAUAUAAAUAAAGUAUUAAGUGAGCAAUAAUUUACAUACAAGUGACAUUUUAAAAUGGUCAAUUUCAUUAGAAAGUUUCACCUCUUGACACUUUUUCUUUUAAGUGUCAACAGGUGAAAUUCUUUAUUGAAAGUUGUCUGAAAUUUGUAACAUCUAUUAAAUAAGAAUCUAUUAUUGAAUUUAAAUUUCAAAACCUAAAAAUAGUUCACUUGCACAAAAAUAUAAAUAAAUAAAAAAGAACAUCACAUACAUAGUAACAUCAUAAAAAAUAUAUAUUUGAACUUAAUAUAUCAUUUCGAUUAAGAAUGUGAUUGAGAUACUAUUUACUUUCAAGUGUGAUAAUGCUUUCAUAUGCAGCAAGUCAUACAAUCUUUUAUGCAUCCAUUGUUUUCACAAAUAUAUAUAUAUAUAUAUAUAUAUAUACACAUAUAUAUAUAUACACACAUAAACUAUGAUUAUUGAAAUGAAACAAAACUAACCUGAGUUGUGAUAUCACGUUCCUUCAGGGCUGAUUGUAAUCAGAAUACUUGUGCUCAUUCCAGAUUGCUGCAUGAAGAACCGCAGUUGUAGAUCCACCGAAGGAUGCUUGUUCGCUGUUGGCGGCGCUUCAGAAUCUGCUCAUGGACCUUGGGAUUCUCGUUUCUUCAACUACUGGGUUCCUGUUUUUUUGACAACAAAAGCGGCAUCAAGUUGAUGAAGAACCCAUUUUGUCAUAACUAGAAAAAAGACCCUUAAAUAUUCACUGCCACCGCAACUGUGAGAUGGUUGAAGAUGAUUCAGUAUCUUCACCAGAGCUUUGGGUCGCAUCGACUUUGAAGACUCACACUCCAUUGCGUGAUUAAGCUCCUCCCUCAGACUGUCGCGUAUGCAUCACAGGUCAUUCGUCUAGGAUGGUCCCAGGUCGUCUUCAUAUUAUCAUAUUGUCAGGUCUUUAAGGUGCUGUUGAGAUUUCGUUACUGCACAUUCACAUCAUGCUCCAUUUUGUUCGCUUUUAUCCCCCACAAGUUCUGAAACCCCCCCCCCCCUUUCCCUUCCCCUGCGAGGGAGGGGAGGGAAGGUAAGGAAGAACCUCCGAAGUGAAAACAAGGGUCGUCCCAUGUUGUAACUCUUCAAUAUGAUACAGACCUUGAUUCAUCAACACGACUCUCUAACAAACUUCAUGAUUCUCUUCCAGUUGUGUUAACAUACCAAUAGUAUUGACGUUUGAAUAGGCGUUAGAAUGCUCUACUCAAUGAAAUUCCAACGUCGACUUAGGUCGCAGUGGUUAGCAAACGAAGACUGAUUUGGAAGUUCCUGCUUAGGAUUAUUUAAGUUAUUCCUGCUGAUAUGAUAGAUUCUAGGAAAAAAUAUUGGCACCGUUGCAUAUUAAAAUCUUUGAAAGAUAUGAAUAUACCUCACCUGGCAUAUCAUGCAAGAUUUUAGAUGCAAAGAUGAGGUCAAUUAGCACAAGGUUCAUGUUGCAAGCACAAGGACCGAGUCCAAAUGGGACGUAGGUCAAUAGGAGUUCGACCAAGGAUAAUGCCACGCGAGAGGACUGCCAUGGUAGGUGGACCUCCUGUGAUCCCACUUCAUGCUACGGUCACUGCUGGUGUCCCUGCUCUAACUCUUACGACUUUGCUGUGGUCAUAACAAUGCCCUAUCUGAGUAACUCUGAAAUAAUUAUUUGUACAUAACUGUUGCCUCUGAAAUCCCUUCAAUAGGUGUUGUGAAGAAAGAGAAAGAGAACGCACCUAAACGGUUGUGGGAUGUAACGUUCCACCUCAAAACAAAAUGAUCAACACCUAACUGUUUGAUUGUGAAAGAGUGUGAUGUACGAUUUUCCUUGAAUUAGUAAAUUGAUCCCAGCUAGGACAGAAAAAACAAAAGUGCGUUGAUCCAGUUGGACCACAUAGGCCACAAUCCUAGGGGAAAGGCGAUUUUAAAUACAUGAAAGUUUCUGAACAAACUUCAGGAGCUAAUGUGGAGAUUUUUCAUAGCCUGCUCUGAACACAUCUACUCGAGCUUGGCAAGUCAAAACUCCAGAUAUUGACAGUUCUAAAAAUAGAAAGAAAUCGAAGUCCACGAAAUGAUUCAUGGCAUGAUUGAAAUAGGGCCUGAGGUCGAUCUAUUUACCGAUAAACGGCAGUAAACAUUUCCACUUCAACUAUACAAGACGUACUAUCUCACAGUGCCAAGACUUGGCAUGCACCCCGUGGUAGUGGAUCAGAGAACCGAAUUUUGAGGGUAAUAUCUUCGUAAAACUUCAGGGAGGCAGACGGUUUUGCAGGUUCGGUCUUGGAAUCGCUCACCUCCACGACAGCUACAGCUGCUCGGGUUGCUCCUAUCCGAGGCUGCAAACCUGUUCCAACAAUACAAAGCUUCCCACCAAGACUCACAAGCUCCGGGCCCCAUGCCAGAACAGGCGCAGAAUCCUCCAAAACCCCCUUGAUGGUUUCCCAAGCGUCCUUCCUCUCAUUAUAUACAGAGAUUUCAUUCUUGCCUUCAAGUGAGUGUGAAUCCCCAACAGCGUACAACCUACCAUUCAUAGCAGCAGUUUUGGAUUGCCAACCUAUUCAAAUCACAAAUAUUAGUUAAAUAUGAGACUGCUAAUGCAAAAGAUACAGUUCAGUGUCCAACAUUUUAUGGUUACCAAUGUAUUCUCUAGAUAUAUCUAACUCACUCGACAAUUGAAAUCUCAUGUUUCAAAUAUUACAUGAAAAAACGUUCCAGAGUUGGUGCAUUCACCUGUGUUAAGACCAUGGGCCAUGUACACCCAUUCAUCUUGCUUUGGGUCGUAAACAAGCCCAACCAAAUUCUCGCUAGAAGAGUUCACCACGUAAAAUUUGUUGCCAAGAACGGCAGAGUCAUAAAGCUCCAUGGAGAUCUUCAUUGAUGAGAUGAGGCGCCAUUCGUUCUUAACCGGGUUGUAAGCUUCGGCAGUUGGUCCUGCGUCCUGGUCACGUUCUGUGAACCCUCCUACGACAUACAGCUGGUUGUUGAUAACACCUGCUGAUGAAGACCAUUGUAUAUGUGAUCACAACAUCGUGGAGAACAUAACAGGGCACACCUUAAACAUUGACAUCGACAUCAUCAAGAUAGUACCCGUUUUAGGCUAUGAAUUUAAGGAAAUUAAACUUGCUAAUUAGAUGUGAACAACUUAGUAAUAAUAGAAAGGCCAGGGUUCCUGAAUAUGAUCGACCUGCCAUGCAUUUGGCCCGUGCAAUGGUCAGAGGGGCUGCAGAUUUCCAGGAGAAGUGUUGCAUGUCAAAGUAUGAAACACAGCUACAUGCAUUGCCAUUGUCCAGCUGCCCACCUACCACAAACAGUUUCCCAUCCACCACCGCAGAAGCGGAGUUCCCAGCAGUGCACUGUUCAUUGGGCAAAGGUGGAAGCGUAAACCAUCGAUUCGAUUGCGGGUCAUACCCAUGCCACACGUUGGCUCUUGAGGAAUCCUAAUAAAAAGAAAAAAACAUGCGAACAGGCAGUGUUGAGGCCAUUACUCCAUUCUUCUAAGAAAUUUCACUCUCUUCAAUCCGAAAACUCAAGCUGGAACCGUACGGGUUCAACAAACUAGUAGAAGUGAUUGUCCUUCACUUCUAAAGCAUAAUUGACGAAGAGAGGACAAAGGAACUGGUGCUCACACUGGGGUGCUAUGCAGAAAGAGAUACCUGAGUCCACAAAAAGAGCCAUUCUUCAGUUAGAGACAGCUCUUGUCGGAUGUCAUAAAAAACACCAGUUUGUAAGAGGCGUCGCCAACUUCGACAAACUGCACUAAGAACUGCAUGUUGAGCUCGUGGUACUCGUGCCAAGCAAAGAAGAGCAAGCUCGUCUGGAAGUGAAGGUAUCAGACCCCGGUAUGGUUCUUCCUGUUUUGAUCCUCUACGCCUUCUAGAACCGCCCUCGGAUGCCAUUGUUGAUCGUGUCUAACCAGUUUAAAGAAAGAAAAAUCAGUAAUUUUUCUUUCUCGAAUAUGCAUUACCCUAAACCAGUUCAAGGAGAAGGCUUUUUUAAAAAAGAGAAAAAUGUGCGAGAGGUGAAGUACAUUGUUGAGAACGUGCUUAUUAAACCAGUUAAAGAAAUGAGAGGGAGAAAUAUUUGAAUGUCGAACGUGACUUUGAAUCCAAUGGCUUUUUACGUGAAGAAAUAAUAUAGGAAUACAAACUCUGAAACAGAACCACUAAAAUUAUUCAUGUAGCCUCCAAACCAGAGUUUAAAAUAAAGACCAUGCUACAGUUGAUGCUCUAAGGAAUUGAAGUUAGAAAGGAACAUUAAUGCCUCCUUCUGAAUGGUAAAUUAUCAAGCAUGACGAUGUUCUGUGCCUAGAAUAGGGCACAAUGUACCCACCUGGACUUUCAUCCCCUUCUGUCUGGACGACAUCAGUUCCUACAAGCUUAUUAAUUUUCUCUCUCAGGUGGAAAGCCUCAUCCAGAGCCUUUGCAAAUUUACACGUAUCUUCUAAACCGCGCGUGAGCCAUGAAAUGUAAUUCUCCAAGCAAGACCUGUUCUGGAAAACAAAGACUCAUGUCGAUCACACAUUAUAUACGUACAUAUCUACAGAAAUAGCCUAAAACUGGAACAAGCGCGUACACAAGUCACAAAUAGAGGCCAUAAUUCGCAAAUUACUAUUCUCGAGCCGCUUACAAUGUUGCUCUAUCGUUGAUCCUGGAUGUACAGUCCGACCCUAAAAAUCACAUCGUAGAAACUACGGAGAUCCUAUCUUGGCUGCGUGAGUAGGAACCUUACACGCUAGUCACACAACUCGCCCACUGUCCAUUGCGCAGACAUCGUCACUCUGAGCAUAUAAUGUACACGGAACGCAAUUCAGAAACACUGUUUCGAAAAAUGGCUGCUUGCGCGCGAACUUCACAAAACAUACAAAUCCUAAUAGUAAGGAAAGGUUGUAAUUAGCAUCUGUGAGACCCUCACCUCCAUUCACGUUCACAACCAUAUUCUCCCGUGUUCUGCGCAUCAUUCUGUACCAUCCAAAAGCAACAUCAAGACGAAUCAAGUCCUCAGUAUUCAUGGCUGUCCCUAAGAACAAAAUUGCGAUUACGUCAGAGAAAGCUACAGUAAAAAAUCCCACAGAAGUAAAGCCAGGACACAAUUCACACCAUAGCAUGGUCAAUUGCAUCAACCAUGACACAAUCAAGAGUGCCCGCUCUAUAAGAGCAACAACAAAUUGGCGACAUCGUAAUUCUCUCAUACGCUACCGAUCCCCAGCUAGAAACAUCUAAAGGACAUCCAAACAUUCCUACCCUUAUAAUUAAGAGAAGAAAUAUACCAAUGAGCCGCACCUCACCUUCGUCUCGUGCACAACAUUCUCAACUAUGCUUGAUACAUCAAUAAUCUUCCAAAGCGUUAAAAGUCUCAAGCCCUCUCACCCCAUUCUCACCCAUCCACAUAGAAGCCUUCGUAACAAAAACAAAUUGGCGAUGAAACCCAGAGGGCGAUCCAGAUACCAAACAUACCAACACAUCCACCCACAACAUGCCAAAACACCACCGACUUUUUCUCCGCCUCUGGGUGCACACAUACAGACUCCAAUUGAUAACCACCUAUUCAAGCUGCAAUUCAACCAAGAAAGUACUCCGCACGCAACACACCCACGACCGUCUCCACUUUCCUGUGACCUCUUCCCCUCACCAUGUAUCUUACUCUCGCUCUGCCCUUCCGCUACGAUCCUCCCCACGAUCCCUCAACGCAAACCCAAUAAUGAGCACUCGCAAUUGGCCAAGGAUUGCGUAGAACGACGAGUGCUUGGAUCACCAGCAGUGCUGCACAAGGCUCUCAUCAUCAGUGCAUCAGGCCCCCGUUACCCGCUGAGUGCCUUUACCACCGGUAACUCGUGAUCCCCAUGGGUAACACACACCGUCGUCUAGUAACACCCACUGACUGCUGGUCGUCAUAGAGCCUGGAGAAUGGCUCCUUCGACGGCCCCGAUUGGGCUUCUUGUCGUUUCUUUCAGACCCAGUUCACAAAUUGACCAAACUCUCUGCAGUUUUCUCGUCCCCCAUCCCCGCCCCCGUUCCCCCUGUCCAUCCCUCACUUUCCGAUGCAACACCCACCGUGAGAAAAUCCUUCGAUGUGGUCAUAUGCCUCUAACUUCCAUAUGGUUGAGGAUACCAGCAAAAGAAAGCCAGCACUUCUUCCCUCCGGCUUUUCCUAACGUCAUCUCUUCAGAUAGUUGCAAUGCGUUUGCUUGUGAGGGCUCACGCACUCGCGUAGAAAUCAUGAUGACUUGUCUUCCUAUAAAUGGUGCCGAGGAUUCGCAGAGAUGGUGUUGAUGUGGGCACGUAAUUGAGAAUAAGGCCCCUCGAAAUCGGGUCCCAAAGGAGGAGGUUUGGCGAACUCCACAAAAGGUAUGAUUCCAUAAACAGCUAAACUUGGAGUGAAGCAAGAAGUUACGACAUAAGUUUAAAUAAAGUGCCCCAAGAGAUAUAACAGAAGGAUUAAUCGAAAUGGGUGAUAUUCUCGGAGGGCGAAGGAUGCAGAUUUCUACAGAAAGCCUCAAAUCUGGCAUACUGCGCAAUCAACUAUUUGGAAUUGUUGGCACAGGAACAUUGAAGAUGGCUCGUUGUCAUUAGGAAAUGCAAAGUGACAAUUUUGAGAAGCUUCUUCAUGCCUUUAUUGAGAGUAAGGGCUGGAACGCAUAGCAAAAGAUGUCAUGUAACUGAGGUGAUCAUCUUUUCGUGUCACAUCGCCGGAAACUUAGGCCACUGGAAAAUGAGAAGUUGGUAUAGAAUACGAUCAUUUCUAUAUACAAUGCCUCUGUUUACCUUAAACGCAAUACAAAUGCAACAGCUACGGCCACAAUGGCAGCAACUCCAAACCGUGAUAAGGCAAUCUCUUUCCAUGUUUGUGGACCAGUGAUGAUGGCUUUCAGCUUGUCGACAUGCAUUUUUGUAUCCUCGAGGGUGCCGGAGUUAUCAAUGACAUAGUCGGCCAUCUCACGCUUCAUGUCCAACGGAAGCUGGGAAUCAAUCCGUGCUCGCGCUUGCUCAAUAGUGCUGUUGUCGCGCUUUGUCAGCCGCGCUUCCUGCGUGGUGCGAUCCACCCACACCACCACCACUGGGUUGGUGAGAUAAUUCAUUUUCAUCUCAAAAAGUAGCGGAAUGUCCAUUAUCACCACUGAAGUACCCCGUAUCCAAUGUUUGAAAACCUCGUACAAGAGACCGAGAGAAAUACAUGGUUGCAAUGCCCUGUAAAAGAUAGACCACCAUUUAGACCUUGAGCUAUCAUGAUUUUAAACUAAUUGACGGAGGAGGAGGUAUUCCCGUCACCUAUGACGGCGUUCAUUUGAAUUGAAUAACAAGACAAUCAACGUCGUCAACUUCACUUCAAUAAUUGAUUGAUUCAGGGUAACGUAGCAGUACCGAUUGAGCAUGCCCCUCUUGGCAGGAUCGUUAAAGAUUAUUUCACCCAGCUUCGCACGGUCCACUUCCCCAUCCUGUCGUAGUAUGCCUUCCCCAAAAGCGGCCACUACUCUCUUCCAACCCCAUGUGUUCUUGUCCAAUGCCACCUGAAGAGACAUGGCCAGCGAAUUCAAUCUCAGUGCCUUAAGUUCUGCCCUUGAGGCUAAUAUUGCUAAUCUUAGCUCCUAAUGUAAGAGAGUAAAGAAACUAGGUGUAGAUGUACUCGGGGAUGAAAUUGAUUUAAACCCCUUUGAAACGAAAUUCUGCUGAAACAUUGAAAAUCUCGUUGUAGUUGCAUUGUGCUGGACAAAGUCACAUAAAAGAAACGGCUCACUCCCGAUAAUUGGAAAAACACAGCUUUCUCGGAUAAGACCUAAUUUUAUGAAGCAUUCAAAGGGUUUGUAUGAAAAGAUGAGAAUUCAAGUACUUGGUAAGGUUAAGUUCGAUAGACCACUAAGCAGAUCGAAACCCUAAACCUGAUAACAAAUCCACACAAAGUGCUUCGCAAUGGUUGCAGAAAGGCAGUUGGGUACGAAAAAUACCCUUGCAACCUUGUCCGCAUCCACGACUGGCAGUCCCUCACUCUCCAAGUGGCGAGAGACAGUACUCUUGCCAGAUGCAAUCCCACCUGUAAGGCCUAUCAACCUCAUCUGCACAACUCCCGGGUUUGCUGCUCCAACCUCAGGAUUGUUUUCCCGUUGUGACUCAAAACUUGGGUGGGCAAUUCCGCAAUUCUCAACUGGAUACGACGCUCCUCCACAUGCGCUGCUCCUCGGCGAUUUCUUUACAGUGAAAGGAAAAGACAGUUGGCGCAUUUCCUGAUGACGAAAGCCGGAGUUUAUCGUCCAAUUUGAGACGAGAGUUCUUAUCUAGGAGCGACGUGGAAGGCCAGGAGAGACGCUCUCUGGAUUUCGCCUUUACAGUCUCGCUUUCUUGCAAUCGAUCCACUGUUGACGAUCUUGUGGCAACCACAAUUGGGCGGCAUUGGGUGCUAUCGUUAGCAGAGUUUGCUAAAACACUUGGAGUACGCUUCAAGAGCCUAACUAGUCAUCUCUCUCUCCUUCCCGUACCCUGUAGUUCCUCUUGCUUCGACUUUCAGUUGCACGGUAUCGUACUUACAGGUGGGUAAACACGCAGUGUAGGUUCAUGUUUCUCGUCCUCUCUGUGUUUGUGAUUAUAAAAACGACGAAUUAAAUCGAUUCAGACUUGCAUUGUAGUUGUUAGAUUUGGUACUUGCAUUGCUAGGCAUUGUGGGUUGCUCCCGUUUUGGAUGACACUGCCGGAUUCUUACUUCCGGUAUGUAAUGUGAGGUUUAGAGAGCUAGGAAACUCUACUUGUAGAGAAUUUUUCAACAUUGCUACCAUUGGCUCAAUCAAAUGUUUCCUAGAACCUGGUCACCUCUGCACUAUUUUUUGAACUUAAAUUCAACUCAAUGGUACCUAGGAAGAAUGCCGUGAGUACGCAGUGAGCAAUUUCUUCUUUAAUUGCUCCUGCCUGCGUGUAGACACAGUCUUGGACAUAAAGAUGUGCAUUAUUUGUGGUGUUUGGAGAAGAGAAUUGUGGGGUGCGCUGGUUUGCCACUUCUAAAAUCCUGGUUUCUCUGCAUAUGUCAUUCGUAUGAAAGGCUUUUAUCUUUGUUAGUGAUUGAUCUUUGCUUCUUGGGUCACAUGAAAGUGGCAUAACUGUAAUCGUUUUAUGUGUUUGCGUAGGGGGGAGGUAUGGCCGCGCUACAGAUUUCGAGCUCCCUCUAUUCUUCGUUGGGCAGGGGAUGCACAACAAGCGUUCUUUCCCACGAGGUACAGUAACUCUGAUAGGUUUGACUCACCAGCUGUAGACUUUAGUUCGUUCCUUAGUUGGUAGAUUGUAUUGUCUAUUGACAUUCCUGCGUUAUGAUUUGCGGGCUGGAAUUGUAGAUACAUGUAAAGCUAUGAUUGUAGUAGCUCUAUUCCACUGGGAAGCCACUGAAGUUGAUUUUGGAGUUGGCAGACAGUUGCACCAGCUAGGGUGAAUGGUGUGGUUGGCAAUUCUCGAAGCCGAGCUGCAGUUUCUUGCAUUAGGGCUUCGACGUCAGAAUCCUGCAGUGGUGAGGAUAACGAAUUUUGCCGAAUUAAAUUCUGUUUUGUUAUUAUUAAGAAUACUUUCUUAUCAUUGCUUCGAACCUAAUAUUCUCCUAGCCUUGGAAUGAUUUGUGUUGAAUCUAAAAAAUGACAUGAGUUCAACUUGCACUAACACACUUGAUGGUGCGGUCAAAAGAGUCUGAGGGCAUGACCCGUAGACAUGUCUUGGGAGGUGCUGCUGCUGUAGCGGCCACCAUAGCUACCUUCGGCGGUCCAGCACUUGCUUUAAGUAUGUUCUGCAACCCUUUGUUUUUUCCAAUACUGCUUGCUUUCCAAUAGGUUUCUACAUUAUUUGUGUCAAGACGAUUUGGAGAAGAAAUUAAACAGAAUCAACUUCGAACCUUUAGGCGAGUCCUCAACAGACACCUAUCUCCCCUUGGUUUCAUAUGGGCACAGCGUGUUUGUGAAGCAUUAUGUGAGUUAAACCAGUAGAUGAGCCUCAGGAUCCAUGGGUUGAUUAGAAUCUCAUCAUCAAUAACACUUCGUAUAGCAUUCCAUACUGGUAUCAAUACUAGUGACACCGACAUGGAUGUUAUUGAUCCUGUGAAGGACUCAUUCCAUGCACUAUAGAAUGUUCUACCACAACCAUGAGAUAGAUGUAAGCAGCAGGAUAGUAGUUAAUGCAAGGCGAUGGUGCGCUGCAGUAUACACAGGCUGCUCUCAUCCCUGCCCAGACGAAGUAUGAUAACUUAGUGGAUUUUUGGGCACUCAUUCCAUGGUGCAGACGCUCCCAAAGGUUAUACCGCUGUUCUGGACAAUGCUGAUGGUUACAAGUUCUUCUACCCCUUCGGCUGGCAGGUGUGGAUUUAACCGCCCAUCCUUCACUAGCACAUUGAUUUCUCUCGUCUCUUUCGGUGUCUUAUGUAAUCACUAGCUUUGAUAGAGAUUGAUUGCAUCGAAGUGAUAAUGUGGACUACUCCAGGAAGUUGCAGUGAAAGGUCAGGAUGUAGCUUUUAAGGAUGUGAUUGAGCCUUUAGAGAGCGUGAGCGUGAGCAUUAUCAAGACCGACAAGUCGAACUUAUCAGAAUUGGGGUCUGCAGAUGAGGUCAAUUCCUCUACAAAUCUUUCUUCCCAUCUUGAAAUGAAGCUUUUCAAGUAUGCUAUUGUCAGUCAGGUUCAUAUGCUUUAAAUUUACAAGUGUGUGACGAAUGUGAAGGUUCUCUCCCUUCACACUGAUUCGUCUUUUUUUCCUUUUGACUUCUUCAUAUGCAGGUUGCUAAGGCACUAGUGGAGAGGGUGUUGGCUUCACCAACUCAGAAGACUAAACUUGUCGAAGCUAAAGAGGUAUGCUUCUAAUUCAAAUAAUCACUGCCAAAAGCACUUUUUUUUCUUCGUCUGAAGUGAGGAUAGGGUGGCUAAUUACACUCACUGAAUGUUGUUCGCUUUGUGCAGCGCGUCAACGACGGUAUUUCUUACUACACUUUCGAGUUUAUGACGAAGGCUUCGAACUUUACACGUCAUGGCCUUGGGACUGUGGCCAUUAAAGAUGGUACACUUCGGCUCUCUUCUUAUGAAUUAAGCUUUUCUAUGCCUUGCUGCAGUCCCCACAGUUGACAGCUUUCAAUAUUCCAACGUCCGGACAUCAGCAUGACUUGGGAUCGUCUUUUAUUACAUUGUUGUGUUGCGCCUCGUAUUCGAGAAAAAGAUAUUUAUUAUAUAUCUUGACAUAUAAAUCACUAUUCCGAAUCUGUUAUUCACAGGAAAAUUCUACACACUUACUACCGGUGCAAACGAGAGGCGAUGGAACAAAAUGUCGGACAAACUGAAGAUGAUUGUCAACUCUUUCGAGCUGCUGGUGUAGAAAGCAGUUCAAGUCUCCGAGACCUAGACGUGAACAGUCGGUAUUGUAUUAUCUUUUGCGAUUCCAAAUGAAUUUCUCUAUUCUUUUUCCCCUCUUUAUAUGGCUUAUAUUUAGUCUUGUAUGAAAGAAUCGUCAUAAUUUUGCAAUUGAGAAACAACCAGCCAGGAUUGUUUCAGUUUUAUGUCGUACUGCGGAAUGCUAUGUAAAAGCUCCCUACGAAAGCCUCUCAUGAAAGAGUUUAAGGAAUUGACUCAGUCCUUUUUUGUAGCUGCUACUACUUUCGUUUAAAAACGCUGUGGAUAAAUGAAACCAACCAAUUACGUUCGCUCCCACUUGGCAUCAUGUGUGUGCAAUGAGUCGUGUAAAGGUUGUCAAAAAACAGCAGCAACGGCACCUCCAUAGUUGCAUGGCAAAAAAUGCCUGGCCUUCGAUGAUUAAAACCAGUCCCGUAUGACUCGUACUUUGAAGUAUGCUCACUUGGAAAGUAAAGCCAGCAGCUGUACCUCAGUGCCCGACACACUCCGUUGUAGAGAAAAUGGUGAUGAGUUCUAAAAGUUCCAGUUCAUACCUUCUGUGGGUUUCAAGUCUGUAACACAUCAACCACCUUCCUAUUAUUCUAAUCACUCAGAUGGACCAGAAUCGAACAAAGCCUAAGAAAGGUAUUUCGAGUUGUAAUGAUUCUGUGUGAAAUUGUGUAACUGCCGACUAACAGGAAGCCGAUCGUUUUAGAUGGCACUGCAAUAAUUCAUCAACCACUGAUAAAUUUGGUCAGCCCUUCAGCAGGAGAGAACUCACAGCAGGUAACCUGGCCUCGUGUGUGAGCCCAUUGCGUGAUCAUUGAAUAAAGGGUAUCCUAACAACGCUAGAAUUACGAUGAAUGUGCAAAAUUUGCAGGUAAUUGCUGGUUAAUACAUGAGAAUAUGUAGUAUGUCGGCAAGUGGGUUUUCAUCUGAUAACCGAAGAGCAUCCUCCACAGUUUCCUUCUACCACGUUAAAUCCCCUCUUCCCCUUCCGCUCCUCCCUUCUAGCAAAUAUGUUGUGUAUAGAAUUGUAUGUGCAUAGUUAAAAAAUAUAUACUUAAGUACUUAAUUUGUCCAUCAACCUUGAGCAAUAAUGGAACUUCUGCACAGACUAAAAUCAGUACUUUUCUGCUACUUUGCUUGUGCUCUAGAUAGAACGUUAGUUUAUUUAUUUAUUUAUUUGAUUAUUAAACAUUGAUUAUUUGAAAUAUCUUUUGAUUUAUUACAGUUAGUUUCUAGAAAGCAUUUGAUAACAAUUUUUGUGUCUCCUACAAAUUAAAAUCAAUUUUGCAGCGUUUCAAUUUGAAUCAAAUUAUUUUUGAUGUGAAGUGAGUUACGUACUUAUUAAAAUUAAAAUUUUAUCCAACUUUAUAUAUCCAACUUUACAUAUACAAAUUCUAAAGACAAUAGCAACAAUUCUAAUGCAUAAACAAUUGUAUUCAACCUUGGUUACUUAAGAGAACUUGCUACCAAACUUGCUACCAAACAUAUAAAUAAUUAGAAAGUCCUAAUCUUUUUAAUAAAAAAAAUUGUUGAAAUAAAAACCUUUGCAAGAAUAUUAUAUAUAAUCAAAAAUAUAUUUUUUCAAUUAUUUUAAGGAUAAUAAUCUUGAUAUUUAUAAAUAAUAAUAAUAAUAAUAAUAAUAAUAGUAUUUUAUUUUUUAAGAUAAGAUUUAGAUAAUCACAAAAUAAUUCGAAAAUAAUGACCAUUUAAAAUAAUUCCAAAUAGAAAUUAAUAUCCUUCUUUUUAAUUUUGUUCUAUUAUUAUAUUAUAAAAUUUCAUACUUAUAUUUUAUUCUUUUAAAUUCUGUUUUUUAUUUUUUUAUUUUCCUAUUAGCUAUAUCUAAAUUUAUACAUAUACAUGUAUACAAAUGACUUUUCUUUUCUUCCAAAAUUCACCAUUUUAUUUGAUAUUUUCUAAAUAAUAAUAUAUCUGACUUAUCAAUUUAGCACCUAUGGUAGCCAAGGCUUAAAUUUAGAAUGUAAAUUUAUGUGAUAAUAUUUUGUUUAAAAUAUAAAAAUAACAUGAAAUUAUUUUUUAAAAUUUUUAAAAUUAUAGAUGUAGAUGAAAUGAGAAAUAUAACUUCUAAUAAUUUAUAUGAAUUUUUUUAAUUUUAGCAUCUCUAAUAUUAAAGAAAAUUCACUUUUAAAAGAAAAUAAAUAAACAUAUGAAAGUAUAAAUUAUAUGGCUCCAAAGGCAUAGGACAAAUUAAUAUAUAUAUAUAUAUAUAUAUAUGCAUUUAAAGAAAAUGUUAAUUUUUUGUUAUAUUUAAAUCUAGAAUUUUUGUCCCCUUUUCCUUUAUUUUUGUAAAAAAUAUAUAUAUAUAAAUAAACAAAUCAUAUAAAUAAAGUUUUUAAGUAUAAAACAAUUGUGAAAAAAAAAAAAAAAAAAAAAAAAAAAAAACUUUGAUUGAGGGAGUCCUUUGGGUGUUCGGCAAGGAUGUGGAGCUUUGGAAGCUAGGAAUUUGCAGCGUUCCAGUGCAAACUUUGGCCACAACUCUCAAUUACAGACCAAAGUUAUAGCUUAGACAAGUCAUAAACAAAUCAGGUUAAAUUACAAAUAUUUACAAAUAUAAUUGUGGAUGUCCUUGGAUCACAUUACAAAAUCCUUCAUAACAUAGAACAUUGCAUGUAUUCUAAUGUCUUUCUAAAGCAUAAAAACCAACCAACAUGGUUCUAAAACCUUAUAUAUUUGAGCAAUCUCAUUUUUUCAUACUUUAUUUUUGUCCUUUUAUCAUUAUUAUUUUUAAUGUUUUUAUUUGAUUUCUGAUUUUUUUUACAUCAUUUUAAAAUUGAGUGUUUUAGUUUUAAUUUUUCAAGUUUAUGUUUUUUUACAAAUUUUUGAUGCCAUUGUGACUGUCUAUGAAUUUUUGAGAUUAUAUAUUGGACAGGUGCUUACACCUUUUACACAUAUACACAUGUUUUUUAGAAAUCUUUUGCAGCUCACACAAAAAAGAAAUACUAUUGAUUAUUAUUGUACAGCAAGAAUUACACAAGUGCAAUUUGCAUUUACCAGUGGUGAAACAAGACAUAUCAAGCAUUAUUAAAGGAGCAUGUUUGAGUCAUUACACAUGAUUUAAAUAAUGGUAUAUCACAUUCUGCAAUGCAAUAAUACUUAUCAUACGAAUCCAGAUGGACAUCAUUUAAUCUUUUGAACUCUAUAAAAAGUCCUAAUAUACAAAACUGGACAAUUUUCACUAUUAUCAUUUAUUGCUAGUGCGUGUAGAUAAUAAUCCAAACCCCAACAUGUCUUUUACCAUUCAUAGUAAAAUUCAUUCAUUCAUGCAACUUUUUUGAAGUGUACAACCAUUGAAUUCAACUUUCUCCUGUGCUCUAAAACCUUUCUGCACUAUUUAGAGUGGCCUUUCGUUUUUGAGUUGGCAAGACCCGGCCUCAUUACAUUCUCUGUACUACCAUUUUGGACACUACCUCUCAUAAAUUUCAUGAUUUAACACUCGAAAGUGUACCGAGAUAUUCAAACUUGAUACAGUUUUAGACUUCGUUUUGCUUUUGCGAAUGGUGUGCUAGUUGCAUCCUUGAAUCCAGACCUCGUUGCAGCAAAAAUUCAAAGCCAUUUCUGAAGAGGGAAUAAGUAUGGGCAAUCAGUGUAUCUACUAAACAAGGUCACUUCGCUCCCCCUUCACAGAGGAGAGAGGAUAAGAAAAAAGAAAAAGAAACAAUACUGGAAUACAAAUAAAUCCGUGAACUGUGGGCCUGAAUGUGACAGCGUCUGUUUCUAUCGCCUAGCCUUUCCUGACACGGUUUUUCGAACUGCUCCAACAGAAACUAAAAACUCGUCAAGAGAAAAGAGGGUUUUCAUGUCAGCGUCAGGGAAAAAAGAUGAUGCUUUGCUGAAAAUUGUGGCGAGAGAAAAGCCAAACGCGGGUGACUUGUUCUCCACCUCUGGUAAAAGUUCAUCAAGGAAGUUGAAGGCAAUCCUCAAGUCACGUCCAUCUGCAGGUAUUGGAGCUGAGAAAUGGCAAGGAAUGAUGGACUUGAAUUUCCAGUCUUUUAUAAUACGGUUUACCCAGUCCUUGACCUGCAAUACAGAACACAGGGUGAGUAAGUCUAAGACCACGGCAUUCCGAGUUCGACCGAAAAUGCUUUAAGUAUUCUAAUUAGAAGAACUAGAUUAUGCAAGCCUGUUGUCUAAGAAUUCCUAAUUUACCCCUUGGCGAACCAGGAAAAACAUUAAUGUACACGUUUCAAACAAAAGCAUAAUCAAGUUGAGAUUAUCGUACCCGCUCAGGUUCUUUGCUAAAUACAAGUGUUUUAACUAUAGGAGAGACGAUGAGCUUCUUCGACAUGGUUGCAAAGCUCUGCUGCGGCUCUAGCAAGUCCGCCGGACCGAGGAACAAAAUCUGCAAUACCAUUCUUUCCCAACCUGACACCAGAAAAGACCCUGGUUCAAAAGAGAGAGAAAUUCCUCGCGUCGAAUGGAGGCAAUCAAAAUCCUACAUAACCAAAGACACAAACUUUGCAUACGCAGCAGCUAGUCACCUUUGUAGCUUGUCAUAAAUGUAACACAAUGUGUACCUCUUUGUCUGGUGGCUUCAUCAUCAACAAUUGGAUCGUCGGGAAUUUCCUUGCCAGCACUCAAGAUUCUCACUGCCAGCCCAUUUUUUGCAGCAUCCAGAAGCGAUUGCUUACCAACCACUUCCGGGGGUUUUUCUGGAACAUAAAUGACCGCAUCUGUCACCAGCAAUGUUUUGGACUUUUUGUGGAAAAAUGCCACCUCCACAUAUGGACCAAUACCUGACACAAGGGAGCACUGAGAGUUUUAUAAAAUUGCAUCAUAACAAUUCCAGGGCCACCACGGCUCAACGACAAAUGUCAAGGUCAUUGUGCAAAUUCCAUUUUAUUGAUAAAUAUUUUUAAAAAUGAAAAUAAAAAUGAUAAUAAACAAGUAAAUAAAGGGUAGUCAAGUUUGAAAUCAACAAAGACAUGAGCAGUCUUUGCGAGUCUUCAAAGUCCUUGCGACUUACCGACUGGGCAACUGAGGACUUUCUGAUCGAUUUCGUCGGCCCAUGGAGCAGAGAAGUCGUCAUCACGUAGGGUCUUGGGCUUAAAAAUGCCAAAGAGCUGCACUGGGAGGUUGAUAGGCCAGCUCCAUUGUCGGGGUGCCACCCAGACCUGAGCUUUAGGAAAUUUGCGCGAGAAAGGUCCGACGAAUAUCUUGUGCUCAUACGCGAAAGUCGGCAGGACAAUGUACUCCACUGGCGCUUCCAACUCUUUCAGAAGCUGUCACCCUCCAACACAUGAAAUCAUUCCCACCAGCCUCAGAUUUACAACAAGGAACCAAUGGUGCAUUCAAUAGUUCGAAACUGCAGAUUGAGUAUAUAGUUUCGGCCCCAUAGAAGUACCUGGAUGCAUUCUUCCGUGGGUGCAAUCGGAGCGUGAACCCACAACCCUCCAGAUUUCAGCAUGAUUACCGUCAUGCGAGUAUUGGUAGCCACACUGCUGAAGCCCAAUGCCUGCUCCUGCUCAAACGUCCAUAUUCUGCCUUUCUCUACCUACAAGGAAUCCUUAAAGAUUUAGACAAAAACAGGAUGAUACGAGGGCAAUAGACGUUCUCACGUUGAAUAUGUCUUGGUGAUGCUCGGAUUGAAUAAGCAUUACGUCGAAAUUAGGACAAGACAAUACACUAACUCUGGAUUGAAAUGAAUUGGAAACCCUAAUAUUACCUCUUUCCUGAUGGUGCGUCUCUGCAGGAAGGGGCCCAAGGGGAAGGGGAAGCCAGUGACGUUGAAGUAGAAUCGACCAGGAGUACCCUUCUUUUCUACAACAGACAUGACACGAAUGGAGCUCGCCCUCCUUCUAUUUUCCCCGGCCAUGUCAGAACAGCUCGUAGAAUUCCCUGUUUGUGAGGAUAGCUGCACAUUAUCUGCGCCCCAGAAUUCCGACGAUGCGUAGCUCAGGCAGGAAGAGGAUUUUUGAGACAUCCCCCAUGAAGACGAGCUCUGCACCGAGAUGGGCGCUGCUGAAAACUGCGACGACACUCUAAGCUUGGAUUCAGAGCCUUGAUGCAACUCACAGGAAGCACAAGACCCAGACGGUAAAACAUGAGCUUCCACCUGUAGAGCCGUGCCGAGACGCACACCGGCCAUGGCUGCACUCAUGCAGUAUCCAAUUCCUCAAUUCACAACACCUGCAUGCCAACAACACUCACUCUCCCGAACUACCACUCCAACUCGGCCCCCACCCCCGCAAGCUUAAGCAGGCAUCGUAUCGCGAGCUGCGCGCAGCACAGACAUCGUUCCAAGUGUAUCUAUCUAUGCAAGGAAACAGAACCUCCGUGAAGCGAAAACAACAAUGUUGCUGCAGCCCCAGCCACAAGUUUGUCGAGAGCAGGUGGGAUGACAUCAUCCUGGAAUCGUUGGAAGCAAAUGGGGAAGUGAAUGGGGCGCAAUGCGGAGUGCGGCAUUAGAUGAAUUGCAGCUCCGAUGCUUCCACGUCGAAGAUGGGAGACCACCCACUUUUUGCCUUACUUCGUGCCGCAUUCCUCCUCCUCUCGCUCUCAUGCACUGCCUGAAUUGGUUUUCUUUUUUCUUUUUUUUUCUGUUUUUUUCGUGUGUGUGGGGGGGGAGAUCUUUCAACAAAACGAGAAGUUUCUUCUUGACCCACAUUCAUGGUAAAAGAGCUUGGAACAGUAAAUUGAGAUUCCUCCAUCUCUCAGCAACGCGGCGAUCUACACUAGCCAGCCUUGGUUCCAUUCUGCGACGGAGAUGUGCGUGUAUGUGUGGUAGUGUUACCGUCGAAGCGACGAACGAAAAGAAGACGAGAACGGACGAACGGACGGACGAGAGGGAGACGGCUUUGAUAUAAGUACUAUAUCAAAGGACACCCCUUAUAGCAACAGCUAUUAUAGUGCAUUGUGCAUGAAGUUUAUUUGGGACAAGUUUGAUAAGACAACCAAUCAAAAGGCCAAUUUAUCUCCUAGAUUUAUUCUUCGGUUUAUAUCCCUCUUGAUGUGUUUUACAUAAUAAAUAGGAGUGCUCUUGUAUUGUGUUUUUUUUGGCAAAGGUUAAGGUUUUAUUGUGAGGAUUUCAAUUGUAAAUUAAUCCAAUAUAAUCAUUUGAUUUUAUUAUGUUUUUGAGGUGUUUUGGACCUAUUUUGGUAAAAUAUGUAUAUAUAUAUAUAUAUAUAUAUAUAUAUAUAAUAGUUUUGGUUUUUUAGUCUUUGGGUAUGUAUGUGUAUGUAUAUAUAUAUAUAUAUAUAUAUAAUUUUAAAAUUACAUAUAUACAUACAUACAUGCUAUAUAAUAUUAUUAUAUUUUAUUUAAAUUUUUUAUUUUUAUUUUUGUAUUUUCUAAUGUAAGAUUGUUGAUAUACUAGCCAUUGUUGACAAUAUUUUUGGUAUAAAAACAUAAUAAGAUCACAUUUUAAAAUAUUUUACAUAAACAUAUAUACAAAAAUUAAUCAAAUUUUAGUAAACAAAUAAAAACACAUUAAAUUAUUAAAUUAUAUAUAUAUUAGUAAAACAAAUUAUAGCAAUAUUUAGAAGGAGAAGAUUUUUAAAAGUUUAAUAUUUUUCCUUUUUUAAAUUAAUAUCAUACAAAUACAUGUUACAUUAUUUUAUGUUUUGAAAUAAGUUUGUGUAGUUUAAGAUUAAGACAAGCACAUACACAUUCUAUUUCAUUUGAAAAAAAUAUGUAAAAAAUAUAUUGAAAAAAAUUUGCAAUUGUAGACAAGAAUUAGUCUCUUGUCGCAUAAAUGCUAAACAUAGGACUAGAUUAUUAGUUUUGUAACAGUGAUCAUAUUACAUUAAAUUGUGUACUUGCAAAUUCACGAAAUGUAAGCACUUUUACGACCUCAUAGUGUGUGUGGUAAGUUGAAAACUAUUCAAUCAAGAAUGCUGAAGAAUGGAAUUGUUUCUUCCAGUCAUUGAAUCACAUUGACAUCAUUUUUGGCUGCUACAAUCAAUGAAGUAAAAAUGUUGUAUUACGGUCGUUUAAAAAAAAUCAUUGACACUGAAGAUUUCUAGCUAGCGCAGGAUAUGGUAGGCUUGUCAUGAUAUAUCUGGCAAAGAAUCGGAACUGAAAGAAAUGUUGGUGUUUCAUAAUUUUUUGAGAAAACAUCAUGAAUUGGAGUAUAAAGAUUCAGCGGUUACACGUACACAACUAUAAGACGAUUGGUAUGUGACCUCCCUGAGGCAGAUACGUGCUUUCGCAUCGGGCUUGUCUGGUGUUCUGUGGCUGCGAACUACAAAAUUUCAAAUUAUGGAGCAGCAAGUUCAGGGCUUCUCCGGCUUGGAUUCGAGGUUGGAUUUGCUAGCUUCGCAUACUUGACAAUUUGUCCGUUGACAAUCUCCUGUCUUGUGAUAGAUAUAUCAAGCUGGCGUUCAAAUUUGCUCAAAACAAAUUCUUCCCUUGCUUCACAUACUGAUAUAACUGUUCCUUUGCGACCCAGUCGACCUGUUCGACCACCCCUGUGUGCAUAGUGGGAUCCAUCUGUUGGCAGCUCUAAGUUGACAACAAGGUCGCAGGUGGGAAUAUCUAAGCCUCUUGCACCAACUUCACUAGUUACCAGGACUCGCAACUUUCCAUUACGAAAGGAGUUCAAGAUAUUGGACCUCUCCAUUUUACUCAAUUCGCCAUGAAGCGCGCCUGCACCAGAAAGUAAAUGUUUGUUACGCAUUUCAACGAAAAAUAAACGGUGAAUAAUCACAUCCACAACAUCAGGGCUACGGAUGACCAUCCAAGUGCAUCACUAGGUGGAUCAAAUAUUUGUAGCCUGAAAACUUAUGCAAAACCAAAACGCCAUGAAACCUAGUAAAAUGGGCUGGGUACAAGGAUGUAGAGUAGGAGCAUGUACCUGCAGUAAGGCCUCUUGCUUCCAGCUUGAACUGAACGUCUUUCAAACGACGAGAAUGAUUCAGAAAUACAAUAACAGAUCGUGCUUCCAAAGCGUGAAUGCUCUUCCUCAAAAUAUCAACAUGAUGUCUUAAUGAUGCCACCACAUAGAAAUGUUCUAGAUUGGGGGGUAAACUUUCCUUCGCUCCUUGUAAAUCUGGAGAAACAGUAGAUUCUUUGGUCUCCGAGUCAAUGGAAGAAGGUUCCACUCUAAAAUCUUCGACCCGUAUGAUGGAUUGAGCUCGAACAAGAAGAGGCCGGUGGCCCCAUACGGCUGCCGCUCUUAAAACUGCUUGGGGCAUUGUUGCAGAGACCAAAAGAGUCUGGCGCUCCACCCUCCUGUACAAACAGACGAAUACGACAUCCAUCAUUGAAGGAACUGUGAUAUGAAGGUGAGACUAACUAGCCCAGUCAUAAGUUCUGCAAGACUAAUGCAGCAUCAUUCGCUCGAUGUGUUAGAAAUUACCCAAGAACCUACUAGCAUAAAUUAGAUGACUACAUCUUAACAUGAAGAGAAUUCGUCAUACUUCUUCGCUGGUUUUGCUGGUGCUUCUUCGCUGGUUUGAGUUGCUGUACUGGACUCAGAUACUGAUGGAGUUUCGAAAGAAUUGGGCAUAGCAGUAGAAACACUUCGGCGUUGGCCCACGUGUUCCAGUAUUCUGCGCAUGUCGCUGCGAAACUUGAUUGAAAGCAAUUGGUCAGCCUCAUCGAGGACUAAAAACCGGCAUCCAUGCGUGUGGAGUUUUCCAGCCUUGCUGAUCUCGGAAAUUCUUCCUGGUGUUCCCACUACUAUGCAAGGUUUGUUCUUCUUUAAGGCUUCCUCUUGCCGACUCUGAUUUGCACCCCCAAUCAACUGCUGGACAACUUUUUUGUACUCAGAGCCUAAGAUGCGUUCAGCCUCCCUUACAAUCUGCAUAGCUAAUUCUCGUGAAGGGACCACAAUAACAGCCUCAAUACCACCCCUGUUGAUGGUUUCAUCUGUGAUAGCCUUACCCCCUUCAGAUAGCUCCCUCAGAGGCCCAACUCGAGAGAGAAUGGGAAGCAAAUAAGCUAGAGUUUUACCCGACCCUGUGUAUGACUGGAGUGCUGCAUCAUGCCCAUCCAAAAUUGUGGGAAUUGCUGCUACCUGCUUAGCAAAAGGAUGGAGUAAGCGAGUGCAAAAGAAUCUACAGUUUAAUAUCCAGAUUUCAGACUUCCACAUUUCUACCAUAUUACAAUUAGUCAACAGGCUUCUACGUUUCUAGUUUCAAGUAAGUGGGAUGAGUCUAAACCCUAAACCCCAUGCAUAGUACCUAAUUUAGAUAACUUUCGGCAUCUGAUCUUAAAACCUAAAUAACUCGCUCAAGACAAUUCUCCAAUGCGUUUACGAUGAAGAAAAAGAGAUGAGUUAUUUUGUGCUAGUAGAUUCUACGAACCGAUACGUUGGAAGACCACAAACCAAUCGAACCAUAACUAGGAGCAAAAUAAAGAACGUACCUGCACGUCAGUAGGGAGUUCCACCCUCUCCUGCUUCAACCUCUGCAGCACACGCCUCGAGAGAUUCAGAGCAGAGAAUUCUUUCUCCGCAAAAGGAAAGGAGCGAAUAUCGACAGGAGGUGCUCUUGCAACAACCUUAGCCUUCACACUCGCCUUUCGCUUGGCAGCCCUAUCCACCACACUGUCAAGCCUGGUAAGAGAAAGGCCGCCGUCGUAGAAAUCGCUCUUGGAAGAACUGGUAGAAGGAUCAUUAACAGAGGAACCAUAUCGGGCCGUCGUAAUACGAGCGAAAUGUGGAGAAUGGAGCCGCGUGGGGUGAAGGCGGGCGAGAGCUCGGUGUACACCAGCGUGAAGUGAUGAAAGCGGUCCUGCGGUGGCGCGCAUCGAAAUGGACAACGCCAUUGUUAACUAUGCUUUCACCUACCAAGAAAAAACCCUGACAAGCAUCUUCAGCUCUGCGAAUCAACGCCCCCUCCCACCCACUCAGUGACGAAAACGCGAUUAUAACAAAACAGUGCGAAUUGUAGCCUUGGUCUCGUUGAGUACUCUUCUCCCACCAUCACUACGUACGUAGCAACAAGUCACAACUGGUAUGCAGCAUGCAUAUCGUAUAAACCUCCCACCAAAACAAGCUCAACACAAUCUGCAUCGUAACCAAGACCUGUUCCUUUCCGAGGGCUAUCCUUACUUACCUGCACAACGAAAGAAAAUGUACAUAUAGGAUGUCUAUCAUGGUAUCUUCAUUACCUAAGUUAAUUUCGUAGACCCAAUGAAGAGCGCGAAUAUUCUGGCAACAUCCCUUUCCCGAGGCUUUCCAUACAAUUACAAUUACCACUCAAGAAGCACAAAUUCCACUUCCAGCCGCUUAUGUCACUGGAUUGUGAUGUUUCCGGUGAGUCUUUCGAUGUAACUGGUGAGUUAUGGUGCUGCUUCGCUCACGCGAAAUCUUAACUUGAAUCAUCAGGUUUCAAUAAACUUGGGACAGAGUUCACGAAGUCACGGAGAGCAACAGUACAAAUUAGAACCAUCUGUAAACCGAGCAGAAGCGCGAGUUUGUGAUCACAAGAGCAAGUCAACUCAACUCCCUCCAUUCUUCAUCUCUUCUCAUUUCAUAUUAUGUACCUCGAUCUACCUCGCAAGCUCACAUUGUUUCCAUUCGCCUUAAUUGAGGUGGCUGGCGGCCUUGUAUCCCGCAGUGAAGUAAUUUUCCAGACGACUGUGCGAUGCAAAUUGUGCAACUUCAACUUGUACAUGCUUAAAUGUCCCCACAAUUUGAGCAAGGUUUGCAAGAAAUUGGCCUACACCCUGCGAAUGAUUAGAGUUUGACCUCCAAAUUCUCAUGUGUUUUGCCGCAGCCAAACCAAUUUAUGUGUCUUGCAACCGCCAUGGUGUACAGAUCUCUUGGACCAUCGGUGGCUUCAAGACAUCACCACACUUCAUGUCACUUUUGUCAAUUUAUCCAUGCGAAAUUUAUGGAUAAAUACAUCAUCUGCAUGUUACAAACGACCUGACUGCCAAGACGUGGUUAAUGAAGGUCGGCGUCAAUCCGACAUGAUAAAUUUCAUAAAUCUCCAUCGAAGGAUCAGUAUUCCAGCCAGAUACCUCCCCUUGUCGAAGCAGUAGGAUCACCAUUAGUUGUUCCUUGAUCCCGUAUCCAGCAACCUCCACUACAAACGAAAAAACAGUAAACCAAUCACUCAAUCAUGCAAACAUCUCAUCUCCCCUUUCGAGAUCCCGAACACCACCAUUUCGACACAUCUCAUUAAAUUUUGCCGCAACGUAGUGAAUAAUUUCACCCUGGGCCAGAAAAUUGAUCCAUAAACCACAGAUCGAGGAAAAACCAACUCUCGCAAUCGUAAUUGAGGCAUGCAAACGCAGGAUCUCGCAAUGCGAGCUGACUGCGGCAAUGCCAUGGCCACACAAGACACUUCUCGUCGUCGGCGGCGCCUCACGCAGCUGAGCAAUCGUCGUUGACACCGACGGAAGCGAUGGAUGUCUUCCGGUCCGGCUCCAAUCCGUCGGUUUCAUGGACGUGGACGUUUGCCGUCUUCGUCGCAUCUUCACGUGAUGGAUCUACACACUUCCCUCCAAAGCAUCAACGAAAUGGAUGAAUAUGGAAUUUUCUCCGUCCAUGCCCCUGCUAUAUCAACGAUUGUUGUAACACAAGUUGAACGAACGAAACUGGCGGCUUCGUUGGUCCGGUUGCUCAAAAGCAGGACUAUGUGAUAGGGUUAGAACUUACCGCUGGACUACCUUGGAGGUUAAAUGGUUAAAAUAAAAAUGCACAAGAUGGUGCUAAAAUUGGUUUAUUUUUAUUUUUAUUGAAGUCUUUGUAAUUGGCUAUAGAAAGGGGGGGGGUCUUUCUUUAAGUUUAUGUUCCUUGCAAAUUUAUAACUCUUCAAUAUAUGCAUCGUUUAUACCGACGAAUUUUAUGAUGUGAUGUAAAAAACUCUCUAACCUACUGUGUAUAUUAAUUCAUGGUGUUUAAUCUUACUUAAAUUAUGCAAUAUUUAAAAGAUAUAUAUACUAUACAAUUAACAUUGUGACUAUUACAAUCAAAACAUAAAUGUCGGAUAUGAUAAGGACUUUUAUCAUUGAGUAUACUACAUGUUAGAAUUAUUCAAGAGAGUUGUUUUGUAUAUUAUUCCUUUUUAAAAUGUAAAAUGUGUGUACAAUUUUUACGCAUUGUUGUGUACUUGUUUUUACUCAAUUCAAAUACGAGUCGUAAAAAAUCUAGCAUAAAAAAGGGGUGUAUAACAUGUCUUCUCAGCUUUUUGGUUUUUGUUUUACAAUUUGAAGAGUUUGCAAUCCUUUUCAUUCAUCAGUAUAAAAGCAACAUUAAUUCAAGUUGCAUAGGUUUUUUGUAGCUGAAAUGUUUAGACACGAAAUACUUCCAUGUAAUUCAUUCAACAGUAAUUACACAGGAAUACAUGUAUGUACUUAUUCGACAUCUGAUUAAUAGAAGGUACUAACAUAUAUAUAUUUCAUAAAUUGACUCCAUGCGUAUUAAUGUAUGCAUUGAAUUUUUGAACUACAUUAUGUACUUUAUUUCUUUACAUGUACAUGUAUGUAUAUAUGUACUCCCAAAUAUACAUAUAUAUUCUCAACGGAUGUAUCUAGUGUUCCCUAAAUUCAACUUGCAAGUAACCUAAUAUAUACUCAUAGGAGUGAGGAAAAGAACAAAACUUUAACAACCCACUAUGAAAACAGCACAAUAUGAUUUUCUGAUUUUCUGAUUUUUUUAUAUAUUUGAUAAUUAUAGUUUACUAAUUGCUCCUAUGAUAUUGGUAUCAUGAUAUUCCUUAUGUGUUUGAGUAAUUUAUCAUUCAUGUCCAUUUCACGAAGAGCAUCCAUCCACAUCAUGAACGAAUGUUGAAGUGCUUGAUAGAUGAAUGAGAGAUGCGAAAUUUGUCAUCCUCAUGCGCACCUCAGGGAGGUAGGGAUGAAUGAUCUAAGUGGAUGAAGAUGACAACUUUACAACGGACGAUGUUCGUUCAUUGGGCUGAUUAGGGUUUGGAGCCCACUCCAUGAAGGCUGCGGGAGCUCAAGCUUGAAGGUCUUUAGGAUUUCGACGCUUCUGUUGUCGGGUCGUGCCGAUUAGCUGCACCAGAGUAGUUGUGGGGGGUUUUUAUUUUCUUUCUAAAAGGAUUUACUUGUAAUUUGACGACGUGAGUCGCUAUGGCGCCCAAGCCGGUUCGAGCGAGUCGCAAAACAGAGCUUGUGCGGGGCAUCGGCCGCAACGGCAGAUCCAAGACCUACCACAAGCGUGGUCUGUGGGCCAUCAAGGCCAAGAACGGUGGCAAGUUUCCCAUUCAUGAGAAGAAGGCGGUUGCUGAAACUCCCGCUGUUCGUGCUCCCAAGUUCUACCCCGCUGACGAUGUAGCCAAGCCCCUGCACAAGAACAAGGUCAUCAACCCUCCCAAGUUGAGGUAAGUCCUGUAAGGUUUUGGGUUUUCAUUUUGUUCGUGCUGUUAGUUAUUUUCUGUCAGUGUUAAGGUUUGGAGGACCGCAGUCUAAGAAUUUGGUUAAACGCCGACCCUCAGGGCUUUUCAUUGGGGUUUUGGGUUCUGGAAGGAAGUCAGUGUCUUUUUUCGGAUAUGCGAUCACAUUAUAGUUAUAUUUAUUGAUUCCAGAUUUCCACGAGGGUUUGAGUUGGUGUAUCAUUAAGUUGAGUUAGUGUAUCACUGAGGGGAGUUCAGUUUCAUGUCAUUCACUCGGAUGUAGCUAAGACCGAGCUGAAUGAGGAUGGGGAUGCUUGUCUCAGUAAUCAGGGUGGGGAGUCAAGUUCUCUUACCUGCAGAUUGAAAACAAGAUGCAUAGCAGUGUUCUUCUUUUACUACGGGCGAUGAGAGUACAUAAGGUGACUUUUUUCCACAUUGUGUACGUUAAUUUGAGAUUCAUUUCUUGUUUGGAUGUGCAGGUCAAGCAUCACUCCAGGGACCGUUCUGAUUUUGUUGGCUGGCCAAUUCAAGGGCAAGAGAGUUGUGUUCUUGAAGCAGUUGGAAUCCGGGCUCCUAUUGGUUACGGGUGUGUAAUUCUAUUCAUUCAGCGUUAACAUUCUGGUUGUAUCCUUGGUUUCAGGCCAUUAAGUGAUGGUGACGCACCCCUUUCUCAUCCAUGAAAAAACUAAAUCGCAGCACAACGGAAGAAGAGUAGUGGACACGAGCAACCUCUAUUGUGUUCCGAUUCAUUUCAACCAAUCCUAGAAUCGAGUUUUAAGGUCAUUUAUCGUAAAUAUUUUUUGCGGUAUGAUAAAUUGUUUUGUGUUAUUCAGGACCAUUUAAGGUGAACGGUGUCCCGUUGAGAAGAGUGAACCAGGCCUACGUUAUUGCCACCUCAACUAAGUUGGAUGUGUCAUCUGUUGAUGUUACCAAGUUUUCCGACGCUUACUUCAAAAGGGAAGUCACCAAGAAGAAGAAGGGAGAGACUGAAUUUUUUGAAGCUGAAAAAGAGGUGCGUACCCAUCUGCUUGUCUAAUCUCGAUUGUUAAAACCUUUGAUUUGAGUGGCUUAAUUUGGUGUUGCGGUUGAAGAUGAAUGUAUGUGCAGCUGUUUAUUGUGUAUUAUGUUGAAUAUUAAAUCCAUAUGUUGAUCUAUUUGAAUGUAGAAUGAAGGAAACACCUUACCAGAGGAAAAGAAGGAGGAUCAGAAGGCAAUUGAUGCCAAGCUCAUCCCUAUUAUUGAAGCAGUCCCAGAAUUGAAAGCUUACUUAGCUGCCAGGUUUAGCUUGAAGUCUGGUGUCAAGCCACAUGAGCUUGUGUUUUAAGAAACCACAAUUCUCGGUUUAGUGCAGCGACAAAUGGCUGAUGUCUCAUAAUCCAUAUAAGUUUGUUAUAUUACCACUCCUGUGUGGUUUGAUGUCUACCAAUUGUAGUCAACCGUCUGUGGAUCGCAGUGACUUUCCGUCUGGGUGAAUGGUGAUUGCGUUCGAUCUGAUCUAUGUAUGACCAUGAUUCAUCGGGAGUAGUUGAAAAUCUGCAGUAGUUCCCUGAUAUCUUUUUCAUCCAGAACCAGACAUUAAGGGUUUAAGGUUUUACCGGGACAUAAGUAUAGCUGGCCUUUCAGGCACCUAUCAACACAAAUGACAGUACUGUUGCAGAAUAUAACACUCAUGAAUAAGAUAUGCACACAGAUUAACCGACUAAGCAAAUGAAGGCGAAGAGCUAGUGUAAUGAUACCGGUGCACCUCAUUGAACGUCCGAAUUUUAUGCUCCAAUGUAUCAGAUGUGUGCGAAGGUAUGUACCAUGGAUUUUCUAAAUGUGUAGCUCUAUCGAUAACCGUGGUUCCGCACUGGAAACGGUGAGUGUGAUUGUGUCGAUAGGUGCAGUGAAUGCCGUUUAUUAGAGGCAUAAUUAUUAGCAUGCGUGAAUAUUACCUGCAAACAAGAAGACACAACUAACUUGAUAAAUCUUUUCAGGCCUUCAAAGUAAUGGAGCAAAUAGUACAAGACCAAACCAUUUCAGCACAUGCAACUCAAAACUGACAAAUUGUAAGGAAGAAAAAUAAACAAUAUUACAUGAAACGAACGAUAUACCUAUGUUUGUAUCAAUCGACAUAUCAUACCUUAAUUUAUUAUUAGUUGAAUUGUUAUUCAGAAUUUGUAUCAUGUUUACUACGCUAUCAUAGUGAGUCCUGCUAUUUGACAGUUGAUUCCCUUUGUGGCCACGGGGGGUUCUUUUUGCUACAUUUCAAGAGAUUGGGAGCUUCUGGGGAUUAAUCUUCAAAUGUAGUUAACCCAUGCAAGAAUUUGCUAAUUUGACUCCUAUGUGCAUGUAGGAAACUGUGUAGGAUUCCAACAGGAGUGGGAGCUUUGAAACUGUGAGGUAUUUAUCAGUAAAUAAUUUCAGUAAUAAGAACUCUUCCUCUCAAAGCGUGAGUGAAACAUGCAGUAUGACAAAUUGAAAUCAAGGGUUAUAUAUAUACAUAUAUAUAUUAAAUUUAAUUUAAAUAAAAACAAAUAAUUUUUUAACAAAAAUAUACUCUUUUUAAAUUGUCAUUUUUUAUUCAAAUUGACAGAUCUAACAAACUCAAUAAAAUGUAUAGAUUUUAUUUUAAUUUAUUUUUUAUUGGAAUUGGAAAAAACAAAUAAAUAUGUCAAAUGAAAGGCAGAUUGUGGUGGUAAGAACAAAAAUUAUGGUGGCAUUAACAAUAUCCUAAAUAUACAUUCACUACAUAGUGAAAAUAUGUGUCCUUGUUGUUUCAUCUUUCCUAGUGAUGCCCUAAAAUGGUGUUAGUAAUGAGAAAGUGAUGCUUUCAUGUUGGAUUCCACACUAUCAAAAUUAUUAACUUCCGCAAGUGAUAAAAAAAAAAUCAAUUCAACAGUAUUUGGAAACUUUCACUUAGUCAUGCAGAAUUUUACAUAACAACUUUGAAACAUUCAUAUCAAUGCUUAAGUUUCUUUUUCUUUUUGAAUUUCAAGUUUAUUCUUGUUGUUGUUAUUGUAAAUAUUAUUACUAGCAAAGAUAUUUAUACGACAUUAGAUUUGAUGUGCUCAAUAUUUUUCAAUAUAGAUAUGCAUUUGAAAUACAAAAAUCUGGCUUUAAUUAUAAUUCACGUAUAUAAAAUGUAUAAAAGUGACAUUAGGCUAUAUCCAACUGUUAUACUUUAAUGAAAAAAUGAAACUAUCAGCUAAAAACAUAUUUCAACAUUUAUUCUUGUUCAAACACUUCCUUUUCAUUCCAAAAAUUAAGAUUUAAAGCAAAUAUUGUAAAUAUGUAUGACCAAUCAUAGGUAUCCAUUUCAUCAAGUAUUAAAAUAAAAUAAAAAAAUAAAAAAAUAAAAAAUGUUACUUCUGAACUUGAGGUCAUCAAGUUUUUAAAGACAUUAUACAUGUGAUUGUGUGUGUGUCUAUAUAUUAUUACGAUUAUUAUUAUUAUUAUUAUAAAUCAUCACUUUUAUGACAAACAUAUUUUCUAAAAACAUUCUUCUUUUGUGGGUUUAUCUUUAAAUUGCACUGCAGUCAAAAAUCAAAAGGAAAAAUAAUUGUGCAUAUUUUAUCAUUUAUUCACUUUAAUUAUUCAUCCUUUUUGUUUUGUUACAUUUUUGGAAUAAAGUUUGGAAUAGUGUGCUUCUAUUCUAAAAAUGCAAAACAAACCUUUAUUCACAAACCUUGCCAUCCCUCCCCCACGUGCUUUUAUGAAAUCGUAUUUUCUUUUUCUCUCUCUCUCUCUCUCUCUCUUUGUCUCUUUCUUUAUCCAGUUUUCUUUUUUCUAUCUCGUCCAGCUGAUCUUCAACUUCUAUUUGAUAUUUCGAGGCAUGGUUACAUAUUUUCCAACCUCCAUUCACAUAUUGUUGCUCUUUUGAGGAAGUAAAUUAAUCAAGCCCCAAUAAGUUUCCCUUUUAAAAUACAUUCUAAUGUGCUUUAAAAUACAUACAUACAUAUAUAUAUAUAUAUAUAUAUAUGGCACGCAUUGAUUAUAUGCUGUACAUGUUUUUGUUCAAAAUCAUAAAGGUGGCUUUCUACCAGUUUCAAUAUGAAAAACUGAGAAGUUUAACAUUGGGUCUUCUUUCUUUUUAAAUUUACAAAUUUGCAAACGUUAAUGGUGUCACUCGUCAUCCUUUGAUUUUUGUAGAACCUUGCUACCAGCACAAUAAUGAACAAUAUCCUCUCACAUGCACAAAGAGACCAUCAUUCUUUUCAAAAAAAAAAAAAAACAAACAAACAAAGCACAUCAGCCACAUGUUAAAAUUGGUUCUGGGACAUCAAAAAUUAGGAAACUGUGUCCAUUCCAGAGGCUUCCAUUUCCAAAACAGUAGGCUCUUAAGAUAACUCGUUUGUGGGGCAACAAUUAGAUGCCAUAUUUGUGCAUAAUAAUGGUGGGGGAAAAUGGAUGACUUACAAUGGCAGCAACUGGGAAUAGAGUAGAAGUGCAAUAAACAAGGGGCUGUAGCUUUUUAUUUGCUGAUGCACGAAAUGGACCUCGAUUUUGAGGGACAUUUUUGUAGCUGAUGUGGAAUAUUCUAUUCCAGCUCAGCAAUUUCCAAUUGCUGUGGUCCUAAUGGGAAGUGUCCAACGUGGCAUGUUUCUCGUUUUUUUAUUUGAAUGAUUAUUUUUUUUGUAACAAAACCGGAAAAAAAAAACAUCAUUCAAUGUGUGGGACUGGGACUGAAACAACUUUCAUGCUGACUUGUAGAUACUCAUGUUGUUUUGAAACAUGUUUUUCACACUAGUAUGAACCUUAAUUAAGGUUCUGAGUCUUGAUAGUUUUCUUUGUGACAAUAAAACAAGGCUCUGCUUUUUUGCAAAUAUCUGUUUCUUUGAUGUGAUCAACCAUUCAUUUUGUUAUGCAAAGUAUUAGUUGUUAAUUGUACCUUCAAAGAUCACUUCUGAAAUUGCACACAUGAGUAGUUAAUGUCACUUUCAAAACAUUUUGUAAAAUUAACUACAACAACACAUGUUGGGUUUUUGGUUAUGAGGUGAAAAAAGAGAAGAAAAAAAAAUGUUGUAAAAUGACUCAUCUAUUCAGAAUCAAAUGGCACUUGUUGGGAAUCCCAACAUAACAACAACCCCAUUCUAUUUACAGGAUACUCAAUGCUACUAUGUGCCAUUCAGUGACAGUUUAAGCUCAACCUUAAAAAAAACUGAAAUAUUUCUCAUUGUCUAUUCAAUAAAACUAGAAAAUUGUGGUAUAAAAUAACAUUUAUCUUCAUAAGUGGAACACUUGUUAAUGCCAUUACUAUUAUUAUUAUCACUGGAGCUGCUGCAACAAUUCAUUAAUAAAGAAAUCAAACCACAGAGUUCUGUUUGCAAUUCCUCGAUUCCCUAGACACUUUCCAGAUAUGCAUCUGGUGUAAUAGAAUCAACAGUAGAAGAAAAAAUAGUACUUAAAUAUAUUACAUGGUGUGCUUUUUAAAGAAAAAUGCCAUGCCCAACAUAGCACAAAUCAUACCUGAUCCUAAUACACAAAAUUGGUAAUUGCAGAGUGGGAGCCGCACUGUACAAGAAAACUGUCACAUCAUUUGUUUCUCCCUCUUUCUCCAUGUGGGUUCACCAGCACUCACGAGAACCCUAACCCUAACCCUAAAACUUGGUUCAAGUCAUACCUUGCUGUGGAACACAUGGUUCAGCAGAGGGGGACAAAAAGAGCUCAUUCAAGGUACACUUGUGUGUUUUAUUUUUUAUUUUAUUUUAUUUUAUUUAUUGAUAAACUUGAUAGAUGCCAUCCCAACUUGCUAUGUGUGAACAGGUCCUUCUGGUUGCAUUAUUUAGGGUGAGGACCGAGAAUGGGGAUUAGGGAGCCAUGGCUUUGCUGUAGUGUCAUAAUCCCUUUUCUUAAGGGGGCUCAGCCAAGCUGGCAACUUUUGUCCAAAGAUGAUAAAAAGCGCCCUUGGAAACCGGGUUUGUCAUGGUUUAUGGCUUAGAAUGCCCACAAUCCCAGUUUUAGGGCAUGACAACGUCUGUGUUGUUUUUUUUUAAUAUUACUUUAGGGUUUUGAGAUUAUGUUGUUGGAUUGAAGCUCAUGCCUUACAAAAAUUGGAUAUAUAAACUCCAAAAUGCCCAAGCAUUGCUCAAGUUGUGGAGACCAGGUGUUGGCAUUUUUGGCAAUGGUUGUCUCAACUUGGGGGCAUGUUUUGCAUGCAAAAAGUCUUUGUCUAUGGGAAGGACAAAGCCAUAGCUUCAUCCACCAUAAAUGAGGUUUUUUGAAUGGAAAUAGUCGAUUUUGAUAUCAAGAUUUUAAAAUGUUAUAUAUGGUGCAAUAUAUUAGGUGGUGUGAUUUAGACAUUGUGAACUACAACUAUUUAUGUACACAAACACUUAGAAACAAAGUUGCAUACAUGCUAUAGUUUUAGUAUGUACACUUUUUGUAUUUUGUUAUUGAUUAUUGAUCUUUGCUCUAUUCAUUAAUGUUUGUAACUACCUCACUAGAUACCAUCUUCUGUUGUGCCAUCAAAAAUGGUUGUUACACCUUUAGAUUUGUCAAGAAAUCAAGGUAGAAUUAAAUGAAUAUGU